This 61083-nucleotide long non-coding RNA is filed under the name Populus trichocarpa (black cottonwood). Its description in RNAcentral is "long non-coding RNA (PTRI_LNC002988)". Lineage: Eukaryota; Viridiplantae; Streptophyta; Magnoliopsida; Malpighiales; Salicaceae. The record is from RNAcentral.
AAAAAAAAAAAAAGGUGUUGUUGAUGUUAAUUACUGCAAUCCAUCUACGGCCACCGACGACAAGAAGUAGAACAGAAGUAUUGAAAUAUGUAUUGUAAUUACAGCCAUACAAUAGACAACAGUGGAUAAUGUAAUCCAAAAAUCAGCUCAUAAGUUUUGAUGUGUAAUUGUCUCACAAGUUGCUGUGUUAAGGUUCCUUUGAGCUCUUGAACCCUUCCUCAAUGGUGCCCUUUGGUCCCUGGAGUUUAUCUUUUGAAUGAACACAUUAAUUAGGAAUCUUACAGGAGACAGGUGUGGGACUUCACAAAUAAGUGUAUGUGAUGUCAACUUUUGUAGGACCGGUCUACAAAUAAAUAGGUUUCAUUCCAUGUACAAAGCACAACACUGAAGCAUUUCGGCAGAGUAAAAGGAUUGAUCAAUUAAUCUGCAAUAUCUUCACUGCUAAAGCAGUGUACAAUGUAUGGUUGAUUAUUAAGCUACCAUAAGAUGUUCCUCGUUCCUUCUUUAUGAAAAUUAUCGAAGAUUGAUAUCAAUAUUGCUUUGUUCAAAACAAGAUGCAUUCAUCUCACACAGAUCUUCUGCUCGGCGAAUUCGUCAAAUUGCUGCUAACUUUAGGCCCGCAGAAAGAAGUCAAUGUCUUGUCAACAGAUUACUAGUCUUUGAACCUUUAGUUACUGAGUUCAAGGCACCAUGUGGUGGAGGCUUGAACAAUUUUCAUAAUUUAAACAAGUGUAAAUCAUAACAAAAAUUUGGUAAAACAAAGCCAUAAUUAGCAAGCAUAGUGGCCUACUUCAGUGUAGCAUUGCUGGGAAAUAAGCCAAUUAAAAUUCAUCAAGAGAAAGAAAGAUUUUGAAGAUAAUAAUCGAAUGGUUAUUUGAAAUGGGGGGGGGGCGCACAAUCCAUAUGCCCUUGGAAAUGGAGAGCCCUUUCCUCAUUAAACUGUAAGUCAUCUGUUUCUAAGCUGAUUCUGAGACAGACAGCUAAUUGACAAGAAAGAUCAACUGUUACUUUAAUAAUGGAAUUACACUCAUCACAGUCCUGACCAAUAUGAUUAUCUUCAUUACUUAUAAGCUUUUCUGAGAAAAAAAUUUCCAACACCAAACCUAGGAAAAUAGUUGCAUUACAUAAUCAUCUUUAAAAACUUCACUAGCAUCAGCAUCUUUCUGAUUUAACCAAGGACAGAAAGAAAAUCCAUGCAUGGGGCUAUCCUAAUCCUGCAACUUUUUAAUAGAGGCUACAGUUGCUAAUGGAGUAGCACCACAGCUGUAUUAUCUGAGAAGAAGGCUUAUCUUUGCUUGGUUGCUAUAAAAUUCUCCUAUCUGCACCUUUUUAACCAAGAGAUUAAUUAUGAAGUGCCUUUUGACAAGAGAUUACAAAUAUUACUAUCAGAUAACAAUCUGAAGGAAACAUCACACAUAGCUUUGCCUGAAACAUGUUAAAAACUAAGAGGAUUGAAUGGCCCGGGGGGGGGGGUCCUUUUGAGAUGACCUUAGUAGAAUAUCAUUAUCAUGAAGUAUUAUUCUUGAUUGGCCCAUUAAGAAUUAGUUGGAAACAUAAGCACAUGGAUAUCUAAUAAGUUUUGCAGUUAACUAAGCAACUAAACUUUUGAUCAGCUUUAGUCUUAUCACAGCAACAAAUGAUGACAAGAGAAACAUGAAGCUUGCUAUCAUUAGGUUGCUUACCGUAAAUGGAACCUUAAGAUCUCAUUAGCAUUCAUCACUGAGCUAAACAGUGGUGUCCAAAUGACAUUCACAGCAUGUAAUCAAAGCAUAUUCUGUAAGGAAAAGAUCAGUAACAGUAAUAGCAUUUGAUUUUCAACUUAAAGGGAUGAAGGUAAGGCCCAGCAAGACAAGAUUAUAGUGGAAAUUGACUUUAUUUAGAAGGGAACAUCAUCAAUUAUCAAAAAGCCUCAAGGCCUUUGCUCCAAUGAAAUUAUAUAUAUAUAUAUAUAAAAGCCUUUGUCUGGUUGAGCUUGUCCCAUAUUAGCAUAAUUAGAUGUUUGCUUUUAGCUUUGUAGUGGGAAAUCAUAGUCAACUUUCUUGCCACAUUUACAUCAUUACUUUUCAUUCUGAGGAGGCUGUAUUGCUUGGCAUUUUAAUGCGGGAUGAGUGUGUUGGGGAGGUUUAAUUGGAGCAUACUUAACAGAUUUUGAUUAUACUUGUCUAAUCAGUUCCACACAAAAAGCAGAAAAUUCAUCCAAAAAAACACCAAUACAGAAGCUGACACAUUACCUCUACCAAUAUCUUCAAAUCCAUGUUUCUGUUUGGGCCAAUUUCAAGCUCACUUUCCUUCACACUACUCAAGUGCUCAACAGCCCUACCCAACCAUUCAACACAGAAGCACGACUUGAUACCGAAAACUAGACCUUUAAUUCUUCAUGUGGACUUUUGGGAUACUUUACAUUUUGAAUGUUGAGUCCAAAUAACUACAGAGUUCAGGCCCAGAUGAAAGCACAUCACCACCUGCAUUAUUCUCAAGAAAGACUUUAGACAGUUAACAGCUAGCAAAAAUGAAAAGCAUUUCUUUGGGGAGGAAGGGAUCUGGUCCCCCUUGAACUUUGUCUGCUACCCCAAAAGAAAAAUGCUUUAAUUACUUUAAUUAUCCAAUCCAACCCAUUCUUCUUUGUUUUCUUUUGCUUUCAAGAUAUAAAUUUAAAUGGAAUCCUAAUCAUUCAUUUUGGAUUGAUCAUGUGAUAUACAGUCUGUCAUACACUACUCUUUUUCUCCUUUGCUGCUGCUGUUGCUGUUACACUUUUUUUAGUUUUUUGAUUAUUUGCCAACGGCCACUGUCUUUCCUUUCCUUUUCUUUUUUUCACUUAAUACACAGAAUCACUUAUCAUCAACUUAAUUUUGAAAGGAUCUCUCUUCUCUGCAUCUAGCAAUCCUCAUGGCUACUGAGACUGCACCAUCACAUCAAACUCCUACUUCUGAUCAUGAGGUAUUUAUAUCAUCAUCUUGCCUAUCUUUAAUUCUGAUCAAACUAUUCAUUCCCUCAAAUACUGUUAUACUUGAUCAAACAUAUAUACUUCAUGGGAUUCUUUUAUUCUUUCCCAUAUUUUUACUUUUCAGACUUACCAUAACGAUAUGAUCUUUGAUGUUUCAGUAAGAUCCAUGUAGCGUUUUGUUACCUUCUUUGUUACCCCUGGACUUCCAUGAACGUUUUACAUGAUCAUAGGUUUAGCUUAUCUGACUGUAUGGGUAAUCAAAAGACUUCUGAUUGCUUUUAGAUAUCAUCCAUGAACGAUUGAAUAAGGGUAGUUUUAGAUGCAUGUCUCACUCUAUUUACUACUGUAUCAGAAGCUUUGAGAAGUGUCUGUAGUUGACAGGACAGAAAAAAGAAGAAGAAGAAAAUCUCUUUUUGAAUGUGCCCCCCCUUUCAUAAUUCUCUGGAAAAUAAAUGAUAGCUUUCUUUUAUAUAUCAAUCAUAAGUCUUAAGUUGAGUUGGAACAUACAGUACCAUCUUCUGAAAUCUGUUCAAAGCUACUGUCACUCUAAAGUUGCUAGUUUAAGAAUAUAUAAGAUAUUUCAUUUUAAGAAAAUUAAUCUCAUGGCAAUAAAAUACCAAAAUUAUAAUGGAAGGUAGUAGUCCUGCCCCAUCUUAUUGCAUAAGCUGUCGAGUAGGAUAUGAAUUCUCUAACAUGGUGGCUCCCUUCUGCACUUGUCUCAGCUUGUCACUUGCUUGGUUCUGCCAUCAAGGCUCUUUUAAACCAGCAAGGAACCUCCUUUUCCCGGUUUGCGAUGGGGACAGGAUAUUCAUAUCAUUAUUUAAGAAUUUCAACUUACAAUAUCUAUAUCUAGAUGCCAUGGUCAAUGAGGGAGAUAGAGAUAUAAUAUUUGCAGUGCUUUAAUAAGUUUACGUAGCAGUGCAUGACAUCUUUAUUUCAAUUUCUUCAUAUUUGAUUACAGUUUUCGCCAUCUUUUUACUUGUGCAUCUACACGAUAGUUUCUACUCUCUCUUUUUUUUGCUUUUAAAAUAUAUAAGAAUGUUCCUAUUUAAUUUUCUAGUUCAUUUCUUGCAGUCAAUUGAGAACAAGGUGACCGAAGAAGUAAAGCCUGUAGAACCUGAAACUGUUUCCCUAGCCGGGAAACCUGAAGAAGAAGACCUCCAACCUAAUGAACUAGCAAGUCAACCAACCCUGUUAGAUAAAUCAGAAGCAGUGGAAGAUAAGGAGGUCGAGCCUCCAGCAGUUGUGGUUAAGAAGAUUGAUGGUGUUCCUGCUAUCAAUGUUCCAGUAGAUGAUAAAAAAGAGUUGGAAAAGGAUUCUAUUUCUGACUCACACACACCUAGUGUUCCGGCUCUGGUGGCCGAUGUUGUUAAUGGCGAACCAGUUGCUCCAGCUAUACAUUCUGUUUUGAAAGAAGCAGAAGAGCAACAAUUAUCAACAUCCGUGGAGGAAUUGCUACAGGAAAAACCAAAGAUGGUUGAUGUUCCAGUAUCACUAGAUGAAGCUAUUGCAAAAACAGAGGAGCCAUCAAAAGUUCUUCCUAUCAAAGAGUCCGAACCAAUUGAGGCAAAAGACAGUGAAGAUUCAGCAGUGUCUAAAGAAGUUGACAAAGUGGAAUCAAUAAUUCCUGAAGUUGAAGUGAAACUAGAGGAGCAAUCAGAAGUUGGUAAACAAGUUGAAGAGCCAAAAACAGAAGCAGCAACUAAGCAACCAAAGGAACCUUUGGAAGUUCUUCCUGUCAAAUCAGAAGCAGUUGCGGUAAAAGAUAGUGAAGAUUCACAACUAGUGUCCAAAGAAGAUGAUAAGCCAGAAUCAGAAGAACAAUCCGAAGUCAUUAAAGUUGAACCCAAAGAAAAAUCAGUUGAAGUAAUUGCCGAAACACAGGAGCCAGUGGAAGCUCUUCCUACCAAAGAAUUGGAAGCAGUUCAAGUAAAAGAUAUUGACGACUCACAAGAAUUGUUUAAAGAAGCUGAUAAAGUAGGAACAAUAGUUCCUGAACUCAGGGAAGUGAAACUAGAGUCUGAAGUCACUGAACAUGUAGAAAAAACCGACGAACAAUCUGUUGAGGCAAUUAAGGAAACACAGGAUUCAUCGGAAGUUCAUCCAAUCAAAGAAUCAGAAGCAGUUCCAUUAAAAGAUAUUGAUGAUCUAGUAGCAGUGCCUGGAGUUGAUAAACCACAACCAGUAAUUCCUGAAGCUGAUAAACCUGAACCAGUAGUUCUUGAAGUUGAGGUUAAACAAGAGGAACAAUCUGAAGUCACUCAACAAAUUGAAAAACCAGAAUCAGUGGUUCCUGAGACUGAGGUGAAACUGGAGGAACAAUCUGAAGUCACCAAACUAGAUGAAAAAACAAAGGAACAAGAAGUUGAGGUGAAACCCGAGGGACAAUUUGUAAUCAGAAAACAGGUGGAACAAUCUGAAGUCGCUGAACAAAUUAAAAAACCAGAAUUAGUGAUUCCCGAGAUUGAGGUGAAACUGGAGGAACAAUCUGAAGUCACCAAACUACAUGAAAAAACAGAAGAACAUGAAGUUGAGGUGAAACCUGAGGGACAAUCUGUAAUUAGAGAACAGGUGGAACAAUCUGAAGUCGCUGAACAAAUUGAAAAACCAGAAUCAGUGAUUCCUGAGAUUGAGGUGAAACUGGAGGAACAAUCUGAAGUCACCAAACUAGAUGAAAAAACAGAAGAACAUGAAGUUGAGGUGAAACCUGAGGGACAAUCUAUAAUCAGAGAACAGGUGGAACAAUCUGAAACCGCUGAACAAAUUGAAAAACCAGAAUCAGUGAUUCCUGUGACUGAGGUGAAACUAGAGGGACAAUCUGAACUCACCAAACUAGAUGAAAAAACAGAGGAACAAGAAGUUGAGGUGAAACCUGACGGACAAUCUGUAAUCAGAAAACAGGCAGAACAAUCUGAAGUCGCUGAACAAAUUGAAAAACCAGAAUCAGUGAUUCCUGAGACUGAGGUGAAACUGGAGGAACAAUCUGAAGUCUCCAAACUAGAUGAAAAAACAGAGGAACAUGAAGUUGAGGUGAAACCUGAGGGACAAUAUGAAGUUAGUGAACAGGUUGAGAUUAAGUCAACAGAUGAAAAGCGAGGACAAGUUGCUGCAAUCACUCAGGUAGCUCAAGCUGAGAUUAAAGAGGAUGGAGGAAAAUCUUCUCUUCCUGAAAUCAUACAAAAAGCUGGUCCAGAGGCUGAAGGGACUGAUUUGGCUGAAGCGUCAUUGAAAGAGAUUGUGGUAGAAGCGGAAAAGGGUAGAGAAGAGAAAGAGGCAAGGACAAUAAAAGCAGAGGGCGAGAAAAUAGCAAGUGAUACAGUAAAAGAGGAACUAGCUCAGCCCAUCAAAGUGGAAGAGGUCAGCAAUGCUGCUUCAAACGCCAAAAUCACUGAAAAAUCGUUUGAGGGAGAGAAAACAGUUGAAAGUGUUGAACCAGCUUUAGAAAACAAGAAAGAGGAGAUACCUGCAAUAGAUGAAACCCACAAAGAUGGGACCAUAGAGGGAAAGCUGGAUGAAGCCACUACAGUUGUCAGUGAACCAGUCAAAGAAUCCCAAGAUUCUGUGUCAGAAGCAAAAGAAGAAGAAGAAACUGCAAAAACCAACGAAGAGAACUCUGAGCAGGAAAAGGUUGACGAGAUUGCCAAAUCUGACACGCAGAAUUUAGAGUAUUCUACCCAGGAUGCUGAAGACGCAAAAGAAUCACAGGAUCUGCCAAGAGAAGUUCCAGCCAAGCCUACUCAAAAGCAUUCAAACAACAUUUUAACAAGGGUAAAGCAAUCACUUGUAAAGGCAAAGAAAGCUAUUAUCGGGAAAUCCCCAACUCCAAAAACCGUCUCCUCUGAUAGCAAGGGUGAUGUUAAAGUCAAUAAUUGAAGGGAUCUUAAUGACAAAGCUUGCAUAUACUUACAGAGAUAUGAAAUCUUGCAUUGUGAAGUAUAUAGGUGUGUAAAAAGGCAUUUUCUUCCAUUUGUUUUCUCUAUUCAUUCAGUUGUAUGUAAUGGUAUAUGAUAGUGUGCUGGUGAUUGGUGUGUUGUUGGGUUUGAUGAGUAGAAAAGAGCUUUUCAGUCAAAUUUAUGUUAGUGUUGUCAACAAUACUAUCUCAUCAAAAUUAUGUACUCAUUGAUAAGAUUGAUUUGCGUAUUUGAUUAAAUAAUGGUUUGGAUUCUUUUGUAACUUUUACACAUGCCAACUAGUGGAAUAGAUUCACUUCUCUUUAGGCAAAAUUCCAUCACCCUUUUUUACCAAGAAACUGAAAGAAAAGGAAGAAAUGGAGGCAAGGGAGGAUGAAACAUCGAGUGAGAACCUCCAGCUAGGUAAAUACCAAUGGUUGUCUCCCCAUUUAAAUUGGCUUUUCAGGAUUUUGAGCAGAGGACUUAGAACUGGUUCUAGCUCAUUCAAGAGCUAAUGAGACUCUGCACAUUUUAUGCGUGGUGAGACGUGUCUCACUGAAGCUGACAUCGAAACACCAGUCACUACGAAGAACAAAGAUAUUGAAGAUUCAUGAGUCCACUAUGAUGUAGAGAUGCCAGAAAAUGAAAGAUGUUAAAAUGCCUGCUAUUCAGAUUCAGAUGAGGGGGUGGGGACUAUAAACCGAACCGGAACAUCUAGGUUUACACAAUUCAGUUUUUUUCAUCAAUUUGGUUCAGUUCAAUUUAAGAAAAAUCGAACUGAAUAAAUCAAACAAACCAUUUGCAAAACCCUAAUCACAUUUUCCAUCUUAUUGCUAGCUAUUCUUUGUGCAUGCUCACAGUGAAAUGAUAGGGGGAGUGAGAGAGGUACUGGAAAAUUAAGUAUUUUUUCAUUAGUUCAAAGAAUUUGUAUGAGAGAUCUACCACAACAAACUUUCAAAUACAUAUUUCUUGAGUUGGCUUGCUCCUAGACAGUGCAUUAUUAUUUGCUCAGGUUGUGUAAGUAAAUAUACAUACAGAUGCAAGUAAGACCGUUCUUGAGUUUCCUCAACAUACCAAAAUCUGUGCAAUUGUAAUUCUACUUCCCUGAAAUUAGAACUCCAAUAAUUAUUGUAAGAGCUCGACUUCAUUAAACCAUGGAACCUUUACACAUAUUCAUAUGUGCCCCCAGUAUCCCACAGAUUUACCGCGUACAAUAAUAGGUUCAACGUUGAUAUGAAGCAAAGGUGAUUCACCUCUCCAAUGACAAAGCAUCAGACCUAUCAAUCAGUCACAACCUGCAGCAAAUUCAAGUUGACAAAAAUCUUUUAUCUCUACAAACCAGAUUAAGUAGAUCUCACAACAAUGUUAAGUACAGCCAACCAUCAUAGACGAAUACUCACCAGUUGCUCUACUAGGUGUGAUGUCAGUUCCACCAGCUGACUUCAACACUCCACUUUCAGCAACUUCUGAGCCUUCACCAUUAUUUUGCGCAAAAGCAGGCUGUUCAAAACAUUCAUUUGUUGCUUGGCACUGGCAUCACGGAUGAUGUAACUAAUUUUAGAUUCAGGUUCAGAGGUAAUUCAAUUGCAGAACUCAGUUUUCUGAAAGGUUACCCCAACUAUGAAAAUUAACAUAUAAUGAAUUCAAUAGGAUAUCGUGCCCAAAUUUACAUUCCUUCAGACAAGCUAAAUGCAUAAUUUUCUGUGGCUAUGACCUCUUCCACUUAACAAAAAAAUAUUCAAGUAUCUGCAUAAUAUUUCUUUGCUAUUGCACUUGUAUAUUUUUCUCGGCCUUCUUGGCUAGUAGGGAGGUUAAGAACAUGGAACUCUAAAUGACGUCUACUAUUUGAAACAUGCCCACAAUCUUUGAACAUAAAUUGGAGAGAUGAAAACUACAGUUUGAUAUUCAUUGGAAGAAAAGGCUGUUUGGAGAGUUGUAAUUAAGUUCUUCCUUGCGAAUUUCAGUAAAAAAUGUUUUCCUUGGGAAUAUCCUUCACGAAUGAAAAUUAAUUAGAGUGAUCAGCAUAAUUUUCAUUUUCAUGGGAUGAUGGGUGAAGAGCUACAUCUUUAAAGACAAAAAUAGGAUUGUAUAUGGAGAAUUUACUUGUUUCAUGCUUAUAUGAAUGUCAUACUUGCAAUUUUCCAUAAUGCUACUUUUAGAUGGAAUUCAUGUGUGCACCUAUAGCUAAUGCUUUCUUUCUCUUGGGAGUGAAGAUGAGCCAUGAAUUGGCACUUGCUGAAAGGAAAACACACAUCAUGCAUCAUAAUGAAAUCAAAAUCCAUUUAGCCAUCUUCAAUACUGAGCUUUUCAUUCUCAUAGAAAAACGCAGCUUGGUUAAGUAACAAACCUGACUAGAGGUCUGAUUCAUUGACCUAUUGGCAACAUUGUUCUGCAUCACUUGCGAGUUGAUAUUCUGAAUUGCAUCCUUUGAACUAGAGGCUGUAGCUGAAUCCAAAUUAUCCAUAGGACCUACCACCCCACAAGCAUUUGGUUCCCUGUUUGUUUUCGGAGGAGGCCCUCCAGACAUUGGCAUUAAGGGUGCACGAGGAAAUGACAUUGGAAGUCCUUGACCAGAAAGCCCAAACAUCUGAAGACUAGGUCCUCCCAUCCCGUGCAAAGCACUAGGCCCUGACAUUUGCGAGCCAGGGAAAUGUGCUCCAUGCAUAGGAGGUACUUGAUACAUAGGGCAACCAGAAUAUCCACCAUUCAUGUCAGGCAUACCCAUCCGGAAACCCAUUCCCAUUCCAACACCCAUGGGUAAGAACUGCCCCAUAUGAGCUGCAUGCAUGUGAGGCAUUCCAGGAGGUAACAUCAUUGAUGGCAUGUACAUUCCAGCUCCCAUUGACAUAAUCUGCAUAAAGGUGGCGAGUGAUCCAAAAAAGUCAUUUGAUUAUCCAACUCAAGAAGUUAUUAAAUAAACUUUGAGAAGAAAGGGCAGAAUUUACUUGUACUUGAAGCUGAAGAGUCUUUAAAUAUUCAAUGGCCUCAUCAAGCAUUGAAGCUUUAUCCACCUUAUAAUGCAAAAACAUCAAAGUCAACCAAAGCAAAGAUGCACAUGAAAUUAUCUACACUUAAUUACUUGGCUUCACUCAAACUCCAUUAAAAUUUCCUGGAUAACAGCAACAAGUUCAACUUAAGAAAUUCAAGGAAAGCUUAGACUAACAUAAAACUCUAGAACCUGGAAUGGAUAAGCUUCAUUUAUAGUUUUGGAACUUCAAUAAACAUGAACAAACUUAAAAGAAUUAAUUAGAUUUCAAUCAGGCCAAGGUUUGGUGUAGGUUUAACUCCCAAGCCUUGGUGUAUGUUUGAAUCCUUGAAUUUUAUAGAAAACCUCAUUUUCAUAAGAUCGUGGAGAAAAUUCACUGAGAAACAUAAAUAUGAAUAUCCAACCUUAUUGCAGUUUGGUAUGAGUUCUUGUAGGGCUCGCAUCUUCUCAUUGAUCCUAUCCCUUCGCCUCUGUUUAUUCAAUUCCAAAUGAAAACCAAUCAAGAUACAAUAAUUCAUAGCUGCCAAAGAAAACAUCAAAAGCAAUUCUAAAGAAAUGUUGGAAUGUUCUUGCCCACCCUUUCAGAUAAGUUAUGAACUUCUGCUGCCCGACCUCUCUUGGACCCAUUACCUGCUCGAGCAGAAGCUGGUUUUUUUGCACCUACUGAUUCUUCUUCAGCAUCCUGCACAUAGAUUAUUUCCUUGGUUCAUGGAAGAAGGAGAUAUAGUCUCGGAAGAGCAAAAAACAUUGAAAAUAUGUGAAACCUAUGUAUGAAACUCACUUCACUAGGACCUUCAGACUCCUCAGUAUCACGAUGUUUUCUCUUCAGAUUCUCAGUUGGAUCGUCAGAAGGUCUCUCUGCGCUAUUGCCCGAACCAACAGAAGAAGAAGCAACCAGAGGUUCUGUAGUCUUUUCAACAUCUUCUAAUCCUUUAAUUGCACUUUCACCAAAAUUUUGAUGACAGUUUCUAUCGCUUUUAGAGUCACCUUCUUGGCUCAUUUCCUCAGGUAGCUCAGCAGGAACAGAUCCUUCAGCAGGCUUAACCUCUGUUGGUUUAACCUCAACCUUGGAUGACAUCAUAUUAGGACGGCAAUGGGAGUCCGUUUCCUUUGGUAAACCAAUUGAGCCCUUAUCUUUAUUUUGCAUUCUUUCCAUGCUUGAAGUUCCAGAACUAGCUCUCAUGCCAACGUUCUGAAGAUUAGCUUUUACAAGAGCAGCUGGUCUUGCAAAGUGAGAGAAAUUAAUUAAACUGGAGUUGAUAGGGGAUGGUGCUGGAACUUGCUUCUGCAUCUUUAUGCUGGGAAAACCACCUCCUGAUGUUGGAGCUCGAAUAGAAUCUGGUGCAAUGACAUGGUGGACAGCAUUGCUUGUACUAUCAUCUUUUUUAGUUGAAUCCCUGGAUCUAAAAAACGGAAAUGAUGUUUUGCAUUGCUCAGAAGAUGACGGAUAUAACUGACUAGCACUGGUUCUAGGCCUCUUAGCAUCAAUAUCUCCUGCUGAAGAAUUCAUCACCACAUCUCCUUGCUCUAAGUUCAAACCAUUGUGUACCGAAACAGUAUGGGAGUCCGUAAUUGACUGGUUACAACUUCUUUUAUCAAACGAUGGAAAAUUACUCUGGGAGGAGUGUUCAUUUACAGUAACCCCCGAUAAUUCGGGCAAAAAAUCAGAACAAUAAUCAUGUUGCAGAGGUUCAUCCAAUGGAUAAUUCAGCCAAGGUACCAUGUCAUCAUCUUGAUUCGCCCUCACUUCAACAGCAGGAACCGCAAGGAGUUCAUUCAGUGUAGACUCCAUCGUUCCAAACUUACCUGUUUUAGUAUUGGUGCCAUUUCCUAUGUCUUUAUCUCUAAUCUUGGGAGGUAAGCUGUUACAAGUUUGUAUCUUUCUAGCUCUACUGUAUUGAAUCUGACCAUUUUCCCAUAUUAGCUCACCAAAAUCAUUCUCAGGUCUGCUUUAAAGGAUACCAAAAGACACAAGAAACGAAAGGAAACCAGAAAGAAAACAUUUCAAUGUAGAGAUGAUCCACUAAUCCAAGAUAAAGAAGCUAAAUAAAUAAGUUAAAUUGAAACUUACACAAAAGACAGAUCAGUUGAACAAGCAGGAUUCUUCUCUUGAGAAGAAUCAGUUUUUCCCUUAGCCAUUCGGUAUAGGAGCUCAGACAAAGGCAUGGUGAAGGUUGUUGGUUAGCAACGCUUCUGCUCAGUAAGAAAUGCCCUCAAAGUUCAAUUAUUUGGCCAUUUCCGGCACUUUUUGGAAACCUCUCUUGAACUCCAGCACAAGCUCAAAGAACCCAAAAACUAUAUGGAGCCGACAAGAGUUUCAAGACAUGAAAAGCUUGACAAGAACCCCCAUGAGUACAAGAUAAUCCCAGUUUGUAUGCAACUCACAAAAGAAAUAAAAGAAAAGAGUGCUACUUUUUUUCAGUUACAUAAUUUGACAGAACAGAAAAUAAUCGUUCUUUUAUUCUAACGUCCUUAACACCAGUGAGUUAGAUAUAUAAAUAAACAAACAAACUAUAAAUUAACCAACAGUUUCACAUAAAGUAGCAGUCAAAAAACCUAUUUUUUAAUGGCUCUCUCAAAGAUUCAAAAACCCUCCAAAUUAAGCUAUUUUAAACAUAUUUUAGAUUAAAGAAAUGAUCUUUUCCACUUCUUUAAUCAUUAAAUUUGAAACCAACAAAAACCCAGAUCAGAUUUUGGAAAUUAAUUAACUUUAUCAGUCCACAUGAAAAGAAAAACCCCAAAAGGGAGUAAUACACUGGAAACUUGAAGAACAGCUCAAGACACUCCCUACCUAGGAACCAACCAAUGAACUGGAACGCAAAUAAGUAGAAAAGGAAGAGAAUUUUUAGAAAAACUGAGCUCCUCGAACUAGUAAAAAGUUACACUAAUCCAAAUGCAUUAAAAAUGAGAGAACUUAGCUGUGCAAAUCAUAUCAUACCCCUGGGACAAUUAUAGAAGUUACCACAAGAUUGUAUGUUUAAAAAUUUGAGCUCCAAGAAAAGAACUCAAAAUCGCAAGAGACAGAGAGGGCAAGUGGACGCAGAAGACGCGAAAGGCUGGCAGAGAUGGCAGGGGACAGAGAUAAAAAUAAACAACAAACCUUGUGCUUGUUCAGCUUUUAAAGUUUAACCUCUCUAUUUCUGGUUCUUCCUUCCUUCCUUCCUUUAACUACUGUUAGAAUUCAAUAUUCUUAUUCCUUUUUUUUUUUUAUGACCUUCUAUGUUCUUUUCUUUACUUUUUUGAUUUUUUAUAAAAUUAAUAAAAUAACACACUUUGGUUCUAAUGGUGGCUUUGUAAGAAGUCGAGAUUGAGAAAAUCACUUUUAACAAAAUUGUUAGAAUAAACGGGCACAAAUUUCAAAGGAAAGAAGGAAAAAAAAGAUCUCAUAGAUAUAUUAAUAUUUAUUAUCUGAUUAUACCAUGACCUAUCUAAGAAAAUAUCUGGAUGAAAUUAUCUUAUUAAAAACUAAAAAAAAGUUACCAACGAUGAUUAUAAUAUUCCAUACGAUCUUUAUUUAAACACAAGUGAGAAAUAACAAAAGAAAAAAACUCCUUAAAACACACCGAACUUUUCCACGGUAUUCAACUUCACAAAGAAGAACGUUGUCCUUUACGAUUGAGAUUUAAAUAUUGGGUUAAGCUUGAAUAUUGCCACAGAUUUCUUAUUAUAAUAAAAAGUAGCGAAUGAUAACUUUAGUUACAUUACACAAAAACUGAUACCAAUAGGACUAGCUAGCUGCUACACACACGCACACAUGUAGGUUAAAUUGUUUAUGAGUACAAGGAGGGCAGGUGAUUUGGGCAAUUAGGGUAGGUUCUUCUUGUUAGGAUUUGAAAGCUGCGGUGCUCCUGUAUUUUUCAUGGUUGUUUUUCAAAGAAAUUUAUAAAAAAAAAGCAGGUUAAACAUAUGAACACCAACAGCAACAUAUCAUCUUGUUUAUAUUAUUAUAAUAUGCUAUCCUGCAAUAGGAGUUGUGGGCUUUUUAUGUUUGUUUUCAUAAUGGAAAGCAGCAGCAGCAUAUCUACAUCAUUAUAAUAUAUAUUAAACCGAGGGAGGGCCCCUUCAAUAAUAGGGUUUUGAAAAUUAUGCCUCCGGAGGAUAAAUAAAGCCAUCAAGGUUUUGAAAAUCAUGCCUUGGAGGAUUAAUAAAGCCAUUGACUUUAGGCAUGAUAGCUCAAAUGGCCUUCGUGCUGGGUUCGGACUCUUGUGUGGCAGUGGAGGAUGUGAUCUUGGCACUCCAAUAAUGUAAGAGAAUGACAUUUGGUUUUACUUUAUUUAAAAUUCAUCCAUAUGUGAUAUUGCUCUCUCUUAUCAUGUUGAGAGGAUUGCCCUAAUUAUUAAAGCCAAAAAGGAGUCUAAAGGUGAAUUACAUCUCACCUUGAGAUCUCCGCUCAUGGAUUAACUUCAUGAUUAGUUCUCCAUGAACCAAAUCUAAGCUGAACCUCUUUGCUUUGAUUAUGGUAAUCAAUCAGAUUAUCUCUGCUGCUGCCCUCUCUACCAGACACCACAGCCAUGAUCUCUCCUAAUGGGGUCAGGAUCGGCGCCAUUGAACUAGAUGUGUUGUAAUCUAUCAUCACGAACAGCACCUAGCUAGCUUAGUCCACUAAAUUUGAUUUAGAUAUGGGUGUAGGGCCACCAAACCCUAAAAUUAAAAAGGAAAAGAAAAGGAGAGAGUGUUGUUUGCUAAAACUAAAAGGGGGGGGGGGAGAGAAGGAUUGAAGUGGGAUAACUUAUCAAGCAAACCAAGAUCAAUUUAAUAUAUUAGAAUUGAAUUUUUCUUAUUCAACCAUAUAUCAUCAUACAUACUGAUUCGUAUUUUCAUUUAACCUGCAUCUCAAUCGAUAUUAAUUACAUACUAUAUAUUAUUAUUAUUGACAAGGCAUUGACCCAAGAGGAGGCCUAAAUCUUCGUCACAGGAUUAAUGAAUUAAUUAGGGAUAGAACAGAGGCCGAACUUAGCGUACAAGGUGAUGAAAUUAGAUGCGAGAGAGCACGAGGAUGGGAAUACUGUUCAUUUUAUUUAUUUAUUGAUUUAUUAUAUAUCUUCCCGACCCCGGUAGUGAAAUGGUAUUUGUCCACGUGGACCGGUGCAGAACCAGUGAAGGGAUUCGGCAGUGUUUCAGUGGACCCCCAGGUUGUAGCCAGCCACCAGGCUCGGAACUGUGUGAGCACGUGUUGUUUGGUUUAUGAGUGUCCUGUGUCCAUGACCAUAUAUAUAUUGACAGCCACCAUUAAUUGACACGUUGCUUUCAUAGCAGCACCAUCACUCUCUUCGUCGUCCUAGCAACAUCAUCACUAGUAUGUAUGUAUGUGCGUGCUUUGCCCCCCCUCGAGCACCUGCCGUCAUAUGUGCUAAGGGCACGUCGGAGAUGACUCGAUCCACCGAGUAGAGUAGAGUAGAGUUGUGGGAGGAUCUAUCAGCUUUAGCUCACCCAAUCAGCAGCAGGAGGAUUUGAUCUUCGACUGCCACCACUCAUCUGCUUAUUGAAGUAAUGACAGCAAAGCAACAAGUGGCCGGCCCUGCUCUAGCUAGAAUAAAGAGCCCAUUGUCCUUCGAAAACCCCUACUUCCUAGGUCCCUGCUCCUUUCCCUUUCUUGUACUGCUGUCUCAAGGUUGCAUCUGAUCCUGGUGGUGCGAGAGCAUAUCUUCAAAUAACUUUUUUUUUUUUUUAAAAAAAAAAAAAUAUAUAUAUAUAUAUAUACACACACGUAUUAAAAUAAAUUAUUUUCAUUUUUUUUAUUUUUAAUAUCAUUCUAUCAAGAUCAUAAUAAAGCACUAAAUUAUAUAAAUUUAAUAUUUCUUCGUGUUCAAAAAUGUUUUUACAAACACACACCUAAAAGAAGAAUAAAAAACAAUGUAAAACACCAUCUCAAUAAGGGAAAAAUUGAAAGAGUCUUGCAGCCGCCAUUGUACAUUUCUUCUCUGCACAUUGCAAUUCUGCGGACAUCCACAUUCUCAGUUAUAGCUGUUUGGUCUUAUUAUAAUAGUUGUUGUUUUAAAUAAUUUUUAUUUAAAAAUAUAUUAAAAUAAUAUAUAUAUAUAUAUAUAUAUUUUAAUAUAUUUACAUUAAAAUAAUUUAAAAACUUAUAAAAAUUAAAUUUUUUUUUAAAAAAUAGCUAAGCUGCAAAAACAAACUGUCCCUCGGCUGCGAUGACCCAUAACUUAUUAAUAUUAUGAAAUUCUUGUGUCAUAUCAUAAGGUGAAACUCAAUUUUUUUUUUUUUGUGUUUUAAAAAUAUUUUUUUAAAAUAAAAUUUUUAUAUAUCUUUUAUUUUAAAUUAAUUUUUUUGGAUAAUUAUAUAUUAUUUUGGUGUGCUGAUAUCAAAAAUAUAUUUUAAAAAUAAAAAAAACAUUGUUUUAAUAAAUUUUCAAGUGAAAAACACUUUAAAAAAAUAAUCACUACCACAAUAAAUAAAUAAAAAACAGGCCAUAAGCAAAUGACAAUAUUAUGGAAACAUUUUUCUUAAUGAAUAAAAAAAAAACAGAAGAACUAAAACACAUAAUAGUGUUACGAGGGACAUCCUGAGUUAAGUAAACUAUAUAAUAAAGGAAAUGCUGUGGCCAGCACUAGUGUUGUAGAGAUACGAGAAGUAGAAGAUAAUGUAAAAUAAUACCAAGUGACCACCCACCCUUCCUUUAUAGAAUGCUUUCUUGGCUGUGGAGCCUUAUAAAUUGCUCGCUCUCAUAGCUCCUCCUCCUGGCAGGACCAUUCCCAGCAGCAAUCUGCACAUGACCACUCCUCCCAUGUAGUGGCGUGGCAGGACCACUAUCUACUAUUAUUAUUUUCUUAUAUUAUUUCACUGUGUAUGUGGGUGGAGCUACCAGCACCAGAACCACAGUUCCACGGCCCUAUAAACAAGAACGACCGACUUCCUACUAUAUUUUAUGCUUCCUUUUCGCGUCAUGUAACACCGCUGGACCAAGCAUAUAUAUUUCAAAUAAUUUCUCUCCCAUUAAAAAAUAAAUAAAAACACUGGUGUAGUCAGGCAGGAAAAAAAAGAGGUGAAGGUCAAAUGCAAUUAGAAGAGGUGAAGGUCAAAUGCAAUUAGAAUAUAUAUAUAUAUAUAUAUAUAUAUAUAUAUAUAUAUAUAUAUAUAUAUAGGCAGUCAGAUUCAAAAAAAAAAAAAUUGAUUAUAUCAAACCAUCAAAGUAGCAUUAAUUAAGCUGAACUCUAAUGGAGAAGGUACGUAUAAGAGGAGAUCUGAUGAUUGUAAUUAGUUGAAUUCUAAAUGACUGACCCUCGGAUUAGACAUUAAAAAUGUUAUUUAAGCAUAUAUUCGGUGCUUAAAUAUAUAAGUAUUUAACCAUUAUAUGUGGUUUUGAACUCUAAAGGAACAUAUAAUUAAUGCAUAUUAUGUUUUGUUAUUACUUUUUUUAGAUUAAUCUGUUUCCUUUUAGAUUUUUUGUUAGUUUAUCUUUUUGUUGAGGGAUUAUGAUUAUUUUUCUUGUAAAUCUAUUAAAAAAACAUAUCUCAUAUAUAAUACUUUAUUUUCAUGAAUAAAACUUGGGAUUCUUGUGGAAUAUAUAACCCUACAUAUAUAUAUAUCUUAGUCAAACUCUAUCUUUCUUGCCUCUUGUCUCUUUGUUUGUGCUCCCAUAUUAACCAUCAAAAGAAUAUCUAUCAUAAACUUUAUACCAUCAAGUGCAUUAAUUUGGCUGCUUUUAUAUAUAUAUAGACACGCUAAAAUUAUAUAAGUAACACCAUAGCAAGCACACAUUUGUCUUUGUUGAAGCAUGCUGGGAGAGAGGAUCCACCUUAUUAAAUUAUAAUAGCCCGGCCAUGCCGUAAUAUUAAUUAUUUUCAGAAGGUAAUAAGAUUGAUUAAUUAAGCACUGCGCUAGCUGACGAACUAAAAAUCUGGCAGAGAUAACUGCUAAGUGCUUAGCUAGCACAAGUGCAUAAUUAAUAAACAAGAAGAAGAUCGAUCAAGCACGCGCGCGCGCAGAACAUAAUAUGCAUGUCACCUGGAUUUUAUAUAUAUCAGCAACAAAGAAGACAAGAGGUUUAUAUAUAGACGACGAGAUGUCUGGACCAAAAAGGAUUGUUAAAAACGAUGGGUCUUGGCAGGUUUGCCUGCCCACACAGCUGCAUGUUAUUUCUCUCUAUAUAUGUGAUGAAUCUUGAAGGCAAUGAAGAGAGAAAGAUGUGUAGAAGAAGAGUUACAGAAAUAUGUUUUCUUAAAUUAAACGAUACUGUUACAUCAUGGUCUUAUAUAUAUUACAAUCCCUUAUUCAAAAAUUCUAUCAUUAAGAAUGCAAUGAAUGAUAAGAUAUGCAUUUAAUUCCUAGAAUAUCCGUUACAGAUAUGAUUACAAGUAUCUUCAGUAUCAGUAAUCUCUUGUGCAGAUAUGAUCAGAGAUCAUGAUUAUCUUCAGUAUCAGUGAUCUCUGAUCAUAAUCUCUUCAAUAUCAGAGAUCUCUAAUUAUGAUAGUAAUCCCUGAUCAUGAUUAUCUUAAGUAUCAGUAUUAUCUUCAGUAGAUAUGAUAUUAUCUUCAGUAUCAAUAAUCACUAAUCAUUAUUAUCUUCAGUAUCAGUAAUAAUCUCUUGUGCAUAAAUGAUCAGAGAUCAUGAUUAUCUUCAGUAUCAGUGAUCCCUGAUCAUGAUAGUAAUCCAUGAUCAUAUUUAUCUUCAGUAUCACUAUUAUCUUCAGUAGAUUUGAUAAUAUCUUCAACACGCCCCCGCAAUCUGAACGGGAGGUUACGAACAUUGAGAUUGGAGCACAGAAGAUUGAACCGUGCAGCACAGAGUGGUUUUGUAAGGAGAUCGGCUAGCUGAUCACGACUAGACAAAAAAUUGACAGUCAAUUUUUUUUUAGAAACAAGAUCUCUGACGAAGUGAAAAUCAAUCUUGAUGUGUUUUGUGCGUGCAUGAAACACUGGAUUGGAGGAUAGAUAUGUGGCACCAAUAUUAUCACACCAAAGAGUGGGACUUUGAGAUAGGUGUAAACCAAGUUUUGUAGAUAAAAAUUGUAACCAUUGGAGUUCAGCUGCAGUGUCUGCGAGGGCCUUGUAUUCAGCCUUGGUACUGCUACGAGCAAUUGUAGCCUGUUGUUUGCUACGCCAGAAAAUUAAAUUUGAGCCAAGAACACAUAGUAGGCACCAACAGAUUGACGAUCAUCUGUGUCCCCUGCCCAAUCUGCAUCAGAGAACGCCUGGAAUAUGAAGGAGCUGCUACAAGACAAUAGUAAAUAGUAGGAGAUGAAGUGUUUGAGAUAGCGCAUGAUUCUCUUUACACAUAUCCAGUGGGACUAUUUCGGUUGAUGCAUGGAUUUGCUAACGUGAUGAACGACGAAAGCAAUAUCAGGCUGAGUGGAUGAGAGAUAAUGAAGGCCGCCAACAAUGCUUCUGUACAGGGUAGGAUCAUCAAAUUAUGCAGUAUCAGUUGCUGUCAAUGCCAUAGUGGUGGAUAUUGGAGUGGAACACGACUUGACACCAUCCAUUUUGGAUUUUGUAAGAAGAUCAACAAUGUAUUUGCGUUGAGUGAGAUAGAGUCCUGUAGUAUCACUUAUAGCUUCAAUGCCUAAGAAAAAACUGAGAGGGCCAAGAUCAGUGAUAGCAAAUUCCUUAUGUGAAUGAUAUAUGUGAUAACAACAGCAACAACAUUAGAACCAGUGAUGAUAAUGUCAUUAACAUAAAUGAGGAUGUAUAUGAUGCUAGAGGUGUCAGUGUGCACAAAGAGUGACAAGUCUGCCUUGCUGCCAACAAAGCCGAAUUGUAUCACACAGCAACAAAACGGGAAAACCACUGGCGAGGCACCUGUUUAAGGCCAUAUAAGGAGCGUUUGAGCUUACAGAGAUGAUCAUGAAACUGAGGAUGUUUGAAGCCUAGAGGUUGAUCCAUGUAAACCACUUCUGUCAAAUUUCUGUGGAGAAAUGCAUUUUGGACAUCCAACCGACGAACUGUCCAAUUGUUGCAGACUACAAUGGAUAAAACAAGCCGGAUAGUUGCAGGUUUUACAACUGGACUAUAAGUUUCAUGAAAAUCCACCCCUAGCUGCUAAUGAUAACCUUUAGCAACCAGUCAGGCCUUAUAUCUUUCAAUGGAGCCAUCAACUUUCCUUUUAAUCUUGAAAAUCCAGCGACAACCAAUGACAUUAAGAUGGCGUGAUGAAGGGACCAAUUCCCAGGUUUGAUUGCGGAGCAAGGCAUUAAAUUCAGAAUUCAUUGCAGAUCCCCAGUGACAAGAUUUGGAGGCUUCAACAAAUGAGGUAGAUUCUUUGCAGGAGGGAGAGGCAAAAACAUGCAGUGCUUGGGGCAGAGGAUAUAAGGUGUGUCCAUCAGGGGUUUUUUUGGUUUGGAAAUGUGAUUUUUGGAUCUUGUAACCAUCGGGUGAGUAUUUGAAAUAGCUGGGAUUGUGGCUAUGGGAUUUGGAACUGGUAUGAGAGGGGAAACAGGGGUAGUAUCUGCUGAUGAUUGAGGUGCCGACUCUAGAGUUGAAGAAGAUGCUGGUAGAUGGGAAUCAAUGUGUGGCGAUGGUGAAGUUGCACAUGUACCUGCAGGUGUUAGUGACAAGGAAGAAAUAACAUUUGGAAAUGGAACUACUGUGGAGGUUGUGUCUGGACAGAUAGAAGGGUGGUGAUCAGGACUUUUAUAUGGAAAAUGGUUUUCAUAAAAAACGACAUGACGGGAUACAUAAACUUUACCUGUUGCAAGAUCAAGACAUUUAUAUCCAUGAUGGUCCAAGCUAUAACCAAUAAAAAUACAAUUUUUAGAUCUGAAAUCGAUUUUGUGUUUGUUAUAUGGUCGAAGAUAAGGCCAGCAUGCACAAUCAAAAACCUUAAGGAAAUGAUAGUCAGGAGUAUGAUGAUAAACAAUUUUGUAUGGAGAUUUUUGAUUGAGAAUAGGAGUAGGGAGACGAUUGAUAAUAUAAGUGGUCAUGAGAAAAUCAUCUUCCCAAAAUUGUUGUGGAAGUUUAGAAUGUGAAAGUAAUGAAAGACCGAUUUCAACAAUUUGUUUAUGACGACGUUCAACUGCACCCAUUUGCUGAUGAGUGUAUGGACAUGCUCUACGAUGAUGAAUGCCAAUUUGAGUUAGAAGUGUAGACAUGCGGUGAUAUUCGCCUCCCUAAUCAGAUUGAAUGUUUUUUAUGGUACGAUUAAAUUGUUGUUCAACAGAAGUUUUAAAGAGCAAAAAGACUUUCUCAACAUCAGAUUUGAGUUUAAAAGUAAACAACCAUAUGAAUUUAGUGCAAUCAUCUAAAAAACAUAAAUAGUAUCAAGCACCACUGUUUGACAAGAUGGGUGCUGGUCCCCAAACAUCAGUAUGCACUAUGUCUAAAGGAUUAAUGGAUUUAUGAUUGCUGGUUUUGAAAGACAAUUGACUGCUUCUAGCUAUUUGACAAUUUGAACAAACUAGAAGUCUUUUAUUUGCAACAGGUAAUGUAAAUGCAGAAAUAGAUUUUUGAAGAACUGGAAAGGAUGCAUGACUAAGCUUGUUGUGCCAUGUUUGGUAAGAAGCUCAUACAACAGUGAAUGCAUGAGGAGGGAGUGUGUCUGACAGGUUGGAUAAUGAACACAGACCAUCUUUAAAGGUGCCGUGAUGAAGGAUUUUCCCCGAGUAGUCCUUAAUGAGAAAAAAACGAUCAUGAAAUUCAAAAAACACAAGAUUAUCACUGCAAAACUGUUGAACAUAAAUUAGAUUUUUUUGAAUUUUAGGGACAAGAAGUAUUUGUUUGAGCACAAACUGUGUUUUUAAGGGAGUUAAAAUAGAAGAACCAAUUUGAGAAAUUUGCAAACCUGCACUAUUGCCAACAAGGACUUGAUUUGAACCAGUAAAGUCUUCACUCCGUAGAUUCAAGUUGGCCAAGUUAUUGGUGAGAUGAUAUGUAUCACCUGUAUCAGGAUGCCAAUUAGUUGCAGAAACAGCACUUGUUGUAGCCAUCAGACCCUGCAGAUUGCUAGAUUUGGCAGCAUUGUCACGAUAGGUAACGUCAAACUGAUGAUAUCAUUUUUUUGCAGAAUGGCCAGGUUUAUCACAGACCUGACAUAUCAUAAUAUCUAUAUGAAAUGUGUUCCUGCCAUUGGAGCCAUUAUAGAAGGAGACUUCUCUGUAAUUCCGGCCUCUACCUCUGUAUGGAUUUCGUCCUCUAUAUGAAGAAGACAGGGGCUGACAAGUAGCAAUAUGAACAGUGGGCUGGACAUGGGUGAAUUGUUGUGCAAUAGACGUGACUCGGUGGUGAGUAAGAGAGCAUAUACUUCCUCUAAAGUGACAGGAUCUGUGCAGGCUGUGAUGGUAGUAACAAAGGAGUCAUAAUCAUGGCCGGCGAAAGCAAGCUCAUCUGUCAUGCUCUUGAUCUGCAUAAAAAAAUCAUGUGCUGAUUGUGCACCUUUACGAGUGUUAACGAGUUCUGUGCGGAGUUGAAUAACCCGAGCACGUGAUUGAGAGGAGAAGGAUUUGGCUAGAGCACACCAGAUUGCAGCAGAGGUGGUAUGAGAAACCACUUGAAUAAGGACAUUUUUUGAAAUUGUAGAGAAAAGAAAAGCAACUAUGAUGGCAUCUUGUCGCUGCCAAUGUUCAUAAAGAGGGUUGAAGGUGACAGAGGAGGUUUCAGCCAUUGAAACUUCUUUGGGUGGGACGGGAAUGGUUCCAUCAAGGCAUCUAAAGAGACCUUGCCCAUGGAAGAAAGGGAUUAAUUGAGCUUUCCAGACAUGAUAGUUGUCUUUUGAUAGUUUUGUAACAUUUAUGGCUAGAGGAGAAACAAGUGGAGGAUUGCCAUUAGUAGCAGCAUCUGAGGUGUUUAGUGAAGAAGAAGCCAUUUGUGUGAUGUGAGUCAAUGGCUCUGAUACCAUGUAAGAUAAAAGAAUGAAGAGAGAAAGAUGUGUAAAAGAAGAGUUACAAAAAUAUGUUUUCUUAAAUUAAACGAUACUGUUACAUCAUGGUCUUAUAUAUAUUACAAUCCCUGAUUCAAAAAUCCUAUCAUUAAGAAUGCAAUGAAUGAUAAGAUAUAUACUUAAUUCCUGGAAUAUCUGUUGCAAAUAUGAUUACAAUUAUCUUCAGUAUCAUUAAUCUCUUGUGCAGAUAUGAUCAGAGAUCACGAUUAUCUUCAGUAUCAGUGAUCCGUGAUUAUAAUCUCUUCAGUAUCAGAGAUUCAUGAUUAUGAUAGUAAUCCCUGAUCAUGAUAGUAAUCCCUGAUCAUGAUUAUUUUAAGUAUUAGCAUUAUCUUCAGUAGAUAUGAUAUUAUCUUCAGUAUCAAUAAUCACUGAUCAUUAUUAUCUUCAGUAUCAGUAAUAAUCUCUUGUGCAGAUAUGAUCAGAGAUCAUGAUUAUCUUCAGUAUCAGUGAUCCCUGAUCAUGAUAGUAAUCCCUGAUCAUGUUUAUCUUUAGUAUCAGUAUUAUCUUCAAUAGAUUUGAUAAUAUCUUCAACAGACUACAGAUAUUUACAUUAGACGAUCAAUGACACCUGCCUAGCUAAGCUAAGUAACCAAGCCCUAAGAGAUGCACGUACACAAACUGUUCGAGAUCAUAUAUAAAGGGAAAGCUAAAUAAAAGGAAUUAAGAGACAAUCUUGAUGGAGUAGAGGAUGAGACAUGGUUAAUUAAUUAAGGAUAUUGUGUCUGUCUGUGCAAGUUGAUCACAUGAUGAUGCCUUAAUUUGCAUGGUCAGAAACAGCAUCAAAUCAAUCAGAAACCAUAUUCGAUUCUACAUUUUCUUUUAUAUAGAGCAAUCAAUGCAGGUUUUCGUGUGUGUGUGUAUGCCCCCACAAAUGCAUUCUUGAUGAAUCCUUGCAUGUCUCAGCAUCACCCAUGAUUUACAACGAUAAAUUAUGGUCCCCUACCACCAUGGUCCUAGCUAUAUAUAUGGCUGGCUGGCUAAUUUAUUUGUCAGUGAUCUACUUUUCACACCAGUUGUCCACUUCGUCUUUUUACGUUAAAAUAUAUCCCUAUUUCCUUGUGGGAACUGGGGAUUAUACAAGGAAUAUAUUGACCUAAUUUCACCUGAAAGAGACUCAUGAUGAUAUUGGAUCCUUGAACUAAUUAAAGAUACACAAUACUCUAUAUAUAGCUUCUCCUUAGAGAGACAAAUUCAUGCAUACAUGAAGCCCUGAUGAAUAUCUCUACUCUCUGCACGAUACUGUUAAAUUAAUUAAAGUGGGGUGUUUAGGAUGGCUGAAAAAGAAGGAAAAAAAAAAGAAAAAGGAUUGCCAUCCACCUUAAUCGCAAGUUUCUUCAAGAUUUUGUCAUAAUACUAAUAUUUUCAAGGGUGAGAUCAGGCAUGCAAACAGACAGCAAGACUACCAACAAGGCUUUUUCUCAUUCCAGGAGUGAAAAACUGUAAAUCAUUUAAUUUCAUCUUUAAUUAUGCUAGCUGCUUCCAGUAUGUAUUCUUGUAUAUCAUAUCACUGUCUACAACGUUAGUCACUACAGGAACAUCUGGGUGGUCGUAAUGUCACAAUCGGAGCGCUUUCUUUCUCUUUAAAAUUGUUUGGCAACUUUCUCUCUUCUUUAUCAAUAUUCAAGGAUUGAAGUGUAAAAAAAAAAUAAAGUUUUAAAAUAACAGGGAUCCAACUGAAACUUUAGAUGGAAAAUUGAAGUCUUUUAUUGACAAUAUCCAAAUAGGGUCUAUUUUGUUUGCUUUUGUUAAAUUUGAUCUUCCAUCUUUGAGUUUUUCUCUCUUUAGCUAGCAACGAAGUUUAAUUUUACAAAAUCAAUCUUUAUUUAUUGAUAUAAUAUUCAUCGGUAAUUUGUACACGUAAGAAAAUACAAAUGGAAAGAAAUCUCAAAAUAUACAAUCAUGCUAAUGUUACUUGAGAGGAAGAAAUUGUAAAUAAAAAAAAUCAUUAUUCAUAUAAUUAAACAAUAUAGUGAACAAUUGAACUAGGUUAGGAAGAACAUUGCUGAACACAUUGUUUCUUCUCCCCAGUUCUUUGACCUUACCUUGACCUUUUGCCAUUAAAAAACACACUCACACACACACAUGUUUCUGCUAGGUAACAAUCACUAGACUCAAAACAAACCCAAAGGGGGGCCCGCUCUUACUCUGAGGCCAACAUGAACUUGCAAACAGCACAUAUAUAUAUUAUAAUGGGCUGGGCCGCUGCAGGUAUCCUCAAUCAACAUCAACAUACACGAAACGAGACUAAGCCCAAACGAGUCACAAAGAUUAGCCCAUAAAGGGCCUUUUGCUCACUUGACCGAUAGCAUCCAUAGUCCAUCCUGGAAUAGCGAUCCUGAUACGGCACUGCCUAGCGAAGGUCGUCGAUGUUCCAUUAACUGACUGAAAUGUUGGAAUGAACGGCCAGGAUCAUUCUCGUCCACUCAACAGAACAGACAGAUGCCCGUAGCCAACUAAGUUAGGUUGAAAUUGACACAGUAUAUAAGGGCUGGAAGGCAAGGGGUAGGUAAGGGUUCGCAACUGCUUCGGCAGACAGCCGCCUUGAAGUUGAUGUUGGAUGGGAGGAAAUGGAGAGGGAGUAGGGUUUUCGGAAGGUUACUGGAUGGGUGAGUGGGGAAGAUAACUAAGCUCUGUUUGUUAUUUUCCCAACUCCACCCAUCCCAUAGGUUUCCGAUCAUUCCUCCCUCUCCUCAUCACCUCACCUCUGCUCCUCUCUCUUUACAAGUAUGCUUGGUUUGCUUACUUCACCUGCUUCUACUAGAUCUAUCUCUCUAUUUGCAUCUGAGUUUAUCAUAGAUGAAUCUUGUGUGUAGGGUUCUGGAUCUAGUUUUUCUCAUCUGCUUGUAAAUAGUCCUGGAUCUUCCUGACUGCUUUUCAUCCACUAUCUAACUCUUUUAAGUGAUUUCUAUGCAAAUGAAAUCUCUCUGUCUUCAAAGUGCUGCAUGUUCUUGUUCAUGAAACAUUACACAGACAGUGAGUUUAGUUCUGAAUUUCAGAAGAAAAAUUAUAGAUCCAAUUGCUAAUACAGACUGAGUUGAGUCCUUUGAAUUCAUACAUCAUAAUACCAUUGAAUCAAAGGAAAAUCUAAAUUGAUGAAACCUGCUGCUACCCGCCCCCUCUCUCUUUUAAGAGGAUCCACCAUUGAUGAAACCUUGUCCAAACUUCCUUAUCUAUGCACCAAGAGACUGCUUGAAGCCCAACUAAGCUUUUAAAUGGCCAUUGUAACAAAAAAAAAAAGUACUAAAUUCAUGAUAUGGUGUUCAGGACUAAACAUAGAAGAAGUUGAUGGUUUCUACUAGCCAUCAUAGGUUGAUGGAUGAGGCCUGCAAAAACAGAUUUGUUCUGACAAAUCUUAACCCCAGGAUUAAACAGCUCUCUGGAAAGAAAAACUUUGACCCCCUGCAUUAUUGUAAUAUUUGCAGAACUGCGAUAACACUCCUAUACACAUCAGCUCUCAUACCAUGCGCACCUUUUUCAUGGAAUUUAAGUAAUCAUGCCCCCUUUCAACAUGCAUGCCUUGCUUGUAAAUAACGCAAAUAAACAAAUGUAAUGUGAUAAGGUUUCACUCUCUCCCAGCAUUUCCUCAAAUAGUACAAUGGGUCGACUCGCAUGACCAUGUUGCUGGCAAGCUGCAAUAAUGGCUGUCCAACUAACUACAUUUCGAUUCUCGAUCUCUCGAAAUAGUGACCAUGUCAUCGGGUUUGGUUAAUGUGACCGCAUUUAGAGUGCAAAUUAAGGAGGUUGAUGAAGAACUGGAGUGGAAGUGAAGUUGUUGACCAAGAUUUGGUUGUGUAUUUGUUUAAAGAUUCUGCUUUUUUUGUUUUGUUUUGUUUGGUGUUUAGGAUGUGGAUAGGGGUAGAGUAUGGUGGUGGUAAGAUUUGUAAUGAAAUCUGAAGUGGGUGCUAAAUUUGCAUGGGAUUCAGGAGGUAAGUAGACUUUCAUAAUAUUGCACAAAAGUAGUUCAAGUAACCUAUACUAUGUUUUCAGGAAUUAAGACAGGAUGUAUACAUCUUUUCAUAGUAAGGGAACCUUGCUCCGCUGGAUCUGACGGGUCAACCCAAUUCAGAGCUUGCACGAGCUAGGUCUGUUGUUGAAACAUGUAUUUUUUUUAAAACAACAUUUUUACUAUUGAAUUGUCUCGACCUACCCACAACCUGAGUUUUAGAGCAAGUCACGCGUCUAUUUUAUGUUAUCUUGUCUUGUUUGAUGAAGAUUUAGAGGUUGGGAUGAUUGCCUUUUGCUACAAAUUACUGUGAUAUUUCAGGUUCGCCAACAGCAGCCCGUCUUGAUCUAGCUUGUUGGGGGGAUGCUAAUUGAAGACUAUUUUUAUGGAGUGGAGUGAAAAUCCGAAUUAGAUGCAUGUCUCCUAUUCGAUUAUUAUCCACACAAAAACAUCUCUCCCUCGAUUGCAAAAUAAUGUUUGGGGUCAUGAAGCUCAUGUCUAUGGGUUUAAUGACACCUUUUAGGCCCUUAACUAGUAGUGUUGGAAGUCUCCAUUUAUCAAAUCUUAUGAUUUAACUAUUAAGAAAUGUUUUAAACUCUGAAGAGUUGUUAAUUUUAUCAGCAAAGAUACGGGCAGCAUUUAUCAAGAACAUGAUAUUUUCAAAGAUAAAAGUGGCCAGUUCGAUAGUAUACAUGUCUCAAUGUGCCGCACUUCCAAUUGUUCACGGACAAAAGAAUUGUCAGUGAACCUUUCUCUAUGCAAAUUUAAGCCAUGCUUUGAUUAUCAGCAUGCAGACACCAUCCUGUAUCACAGUUAAGCAGUUCCUCCCGCGGUCCCGUACAAGAUGUGGUUCCCAUCAUGAGCAUGAAGACGACGAAUAAAGGUUAAAGGUAGAUGAUUGACAAAGGUAGCCAGCCCAUUGUUGCUAGCGUAUUCAGGUGGGGGAGAUGGAUGCCCUUUCAAGACAGCCAUCGGUUUCAAGCAGCCAACUGUAUGUUUGAUUUAAGAUAAGAUCACAAAGGGAUAAGAUUAAUCAGAUACUUCAUCACUGUAUGUAUGGCUUGUUGUGGUGUGGUUACCGGGGGACCAAUCAUAUUCCUCUUAAUAAAGAGAAGAAGAUCGAUAAAACAAAUUAAGUGCAUAGGAGAUGAUCUUCUUAGUAAAGCAUUGGGGAUUAGAUUCAUGGCCACGUCAAUUUAGAAUAUUAAUGAUGUUUUAAAUAAAAAAAGGAAAAAAGGGGUGUCGGCUCCCCCUUGGGAUCUUAAGGCCUAAGCAUUGGCACAUGGUGUACUCGCCUCCCCCUUCUUUUCUAUCUCUAAAAAUAUCUUGAAGUCUGACCUGUGAACCAGUUGUUCGUUGAUGAUAUUUUCAUGCCUCACAACUUUUUUUUUAUAUUCGUAGGUAAUUUUAUAAACGGUUUAGAAAUACGGUGCAAACCACAUUCUUAAAAAAUUUAAUUUUUUUUAAUUAAAAUUUAAUAUAAUUUGUACGUUUUAGAUUGUUUUGAUGUGCUAAUAUCAAAAAUAAUUUUAAGAAAAUAAAAAAAUAUUAUUAACAUGUAUUUCAGUACGAAAAGUUAUUUGAAAAGUAACUAAAUAUAUUCGUAGAUUAUCUAAAAUCUAGAUUAUCUGAGAUGAUCCAUGUAGUUGCGUUUCAAGGGAGGGGUUCUUUCCCUCUUAAAUAAGGACUUGCUGAUUCUUUUUAGCUAGAUUGAUUGAUACUAAUAAUUGGUGAUCUUGAAUUCUUCAUCACUAAGAUAUAAUAGCAAAAGAUCUUCUUUGUUAUUUGAUUAUUUUUCAAAAUAGAGGAGUGAUGCUGUGUUUAUACUCUAUUGUCAUUUUCUUUGUAAGAAACAAGAAGAUGAUGAUGAUGAUGAUGAUGCAUGAGGUUAAAUAGAUGUCGGUUGAUGCAUGACAGCCCCACAGAGGCAAGGGGGUGAAUUAACUUGGGAUUGUCGACAUGAAAGCUUGCAAUUAAAUUGAUUCUUCCAAGUCAGUAGAAGCAAAAUUGAUAAUGUUGGCCUGCAAUGGACAAAUAUAGCGCCUUCAUAAAUAAGAUUUUGAGUGAUUGUUUUUUAUUUGUUAAAAUCUAUAAUUGAUAUAAACAAAUUAAAAUGAUUAAAAAAAUAAUUUAAUAUAAUUUCUUUUUAAAAUAAAAAAAAACAAAUUAAAAUUCAGUUCCAAACAAAAAUAAUAAUUCGUCAGGGGGGACCAAGAUAGCCGCCACCCGUGGGCCUGCGACUGCUCUAUGUAGGCAGUAACGUCCGUCUUGAUGACAAUUACGUACAUUCAUUUCGGUUUCUGUCCCCGUCGCGCACGGUUUCCAGCCUCCAUCGCCGCUGUUGCUCCUCCUCGACGACAUGUCAACCUAGGAGCGGCCCUCUGAAUUUACUCUCUUAGAUAAAAUAAUAAUAAUAAUAAUUAAAAAGAUCUCUCCACACAACUCAACUUCUUGGCCCGGGAGGAAAGCAAGAUAACAUGGCUUAUCUGUAAGCCGUACAAAUACGAUUCUUACAACCCAAAAGCGUGGCAUCUUCUAAUCUUAAGCUUUCUGAUUUAAUCUUUCCACGAAAACAAAUCAUAAUUAAUUCAUCAAACUUAACAGCAAAUCAUUAAUAAUUAUGAUAAUUAUGAAUUGUACCUCAAACUUAACAACAAGAGGUCUUAAUAAAUUUAAAUCAUUUUUUGUAUUAAAAGAUAGAUUUGUGAAAUUUUAUAUAUAAAAUUAAAAUCAAUCUCAAUUUAAUUAUAUAUAAAUCAAUCCAAAAAUAUCGGUGAAGCAAAAAACAAGAUAUCAUAGUCAUGUUACAAAUGUUAGAUUAUGCUUGUUUGGCUACUGUUAAACUUCUUUUUUAAGGAAUAAGAGAUAAAUAUUCAAAUAUAAAAUAAAUCUGUUUUUUGUUGUUUUUAUUUUUACUUUAUCUAUUAAUUCUUUUGCCUCGACGUCGUACAUGAAAAAAGAAGUGGAUAUCUAGACGUAAUUAGGAGUACGCGUGUAGACGACGUGGAAGUUAUUGUAGGGGGAGUGGCUUUGGUUCUCUAUAUAUAUAUAACCAGCAACAACAGCCCUUGAGAGAAUUACUACGCCAACAGAGAAGGAAGCAGCUGAUCCUGAAGAGCAAUUCGCUAGCCUGUUAAAGUUAAUUAAUUAGCAGUUAGUUAGUUAAUUAAUUAGUCAAGAAGAUGUCAAGUACUAACUUCAUAGACAUCUUGCUGGCCAUCAUCUUGCCUCCUCUCGGUGUAUUCCUCAAGUUUGGUUGCGGGGUAAGCAAUUAGCAGCACUGAUCAUCUGUUUCUCGAUCGAUUCCUAGCUAGCUAGUACGUAUAGAACUUGCAAGUGUCUGUAUAUCUCAAUCCUUUGUUCUUGUAAAUAUGUCAGGCGGAGUUUUGGAUCUGCUUGCUGCUUACCAUUUUAGGGUACAUCCCUGGAAUCAUUUAUGCCGUCUAUAUCAUUACCAAGUGAUCGAUAUCACCCUCUUCUUCAUGAUCUCUUGUUGUAAGCUCUCUCAUCCGCCUCCUUAAUUAGUUUCUCUCCCUUCUAUUUCCACUGUCUAUAUAAGUUUGAAGCUGUGUUCUUGAAAUUUAGUAAAAAAACACUGAUACUGCGCUCUGAUAUUGAAAGGUGCUCUUUCUUUUUUAUGAGAAAAUUAAAUAUGUUUUAAUUUAGAAGAAGAUUUAUAUAUAUAAUAUUAAUAAAUAGUGGAGGAUCACAACAGAUGAUUGAUUUAUGUGUUUAUUGAAGUUGCAUGUGUAUAUAUAUUUAAUUCAUGGGGCCGGUCCCUUCAAUUUUUUAACAUAUUUGUUGUUGUCUUUAAAAAAACAGGUGGAGAGACGCAGUACCGUUUGAUCCAAUAAAAAAGUUCCUGGUCGUCUGAUUCAAUGAAGAGCUCCUGAUUUUGUAUGGAGUUGGAUGAUUAUACACACUCCCUUUUCAUAAUUGUUUUUUCUUUUUAAUGUAUUAAUUGAUAUUUUGUAAAGGAGGUUAGCAGCCCUUAUUGCUGAGUGCCUUAUCAUGCGUGCAUGGUCUGGUUAAUAAGCAAGUCUCUUUCGUUCUUAAUCUCCCUGUCUUAAUUUGUUGUGAACAUCCGAAUUUGUUUUAAUUAGUUAAUGGAACUGUCUGCCUAAUUGUUUGUGGAUGCAAUCAUUGACUAUUUGGUGACUGUUCCUCUGAUUUUCCUUCAAUUAGUGCUGCUGGUUACAUAUACAUGAAACAGCUUAAUUAAUCAUUAUGAUAUGAUUACGUACGUUCAUGAGUGUUAUAAUGCGGCGAGGUUAAAAUCAUAUUUUAUCCUAAACACUUAAACUCUUAUAAAACAUUGAUUAGAAAAAAUUAACUAUAAUUUAUAUGUUUUCUUAAUUAGAAACUUGUAUUCCCGAAACCUAAUUAACCAUAAAUACAGUCUCCUAUCCGAUAAAACGCACGUAGUGGCAGCUGGCUAGAACAAAAAAGAAAGGACAAAACAAGGAAGGAAGAUGCAUCAUCUUGAAUCUCAUCCCAAGAAACCACCUUUGCUGCAGCUCGUGCUUACUUGCAAGAAGACGAUUGCUCGCUCUUGACAGAGACCAAUUAAUUUGUCUUAUCCAUGAAGCCAUCCCCUCCCAAGCCAGCUCAGGCUGCCCCACCACAACCCAACUACGUACGGUUACAUUUAGCCAUGAUCGAUGAGCUCAUCACAGAAGUGUUAAUUUCUCAUCUAGAAGGUCGAGGCUCUUGCCAUUUGUUAGUUCAACCAGGGAAUUGUGGUUGUCAAAACUUGAGACGGAAAUUAUUAACUUGGCUGAUCAUGAAAUCAAAGGAAAAUUAAGGUAGUCCCAAAUACAGGAAUGGGAAAUCUUACAACAUUAUUCUAUUUUUUUUUUGUCCCUUGUAAACGUUGAAUAUAUCCAAGAAUCGCACACUACUGACAAAUUAACAGCAUGUCGGUCUUCCCGGCUUCACUAUCAUUGAAUAGUACUGAAAUAGACACAUGCAUGACGGAACCCUCAGGUUAAUCCAUCUCUUGAUUUCACACCGACACCAACAAAAUAUUGCCUUAAGAUAUAUAUGGUCUCCGAAUUCUUAAUUCUUACAAGAAAUCUUUAGCCAGCCUUGUUACAAAAGAUCGUUGCUUUUUGCCAGGUAUAUAUUUUAUAGAAAUAUUAGAAUAAACGAUACACAAACAUAGACAGCUACUCUCUAGAUUGAUAUUUUAUGGGAGCAUCUUUUUCCGCCAAAGAUUGACAUUCUCUUAUGGUUACAAGACAUUGAAACCAAACCUUUGUUAAUAAUAUUGUCGGCAACUCAUUGUUAAUCCUAAAAAGUUUGAUUUUUGAACUUUAAACUGAGCGCCUACAGUUAUUCAUAACAUUUAAGUGUUAAAAGUUAAUGUUUUAUAGCUUAACUGAUACAAAGUAUUUUCCCUUCUUAUAAGAAAUCUUGGUUUCAAUUUUCUUAACAAAAUAAAAUAAAAUAAAGACAAGAACAGAACAUUAACACGGGACAACCUUGCCGACAGGAAGCCAUGAAAAAUAAUUAGGAAUAUAAUUCAUUUAUCAAUUCAUAGCCCUCCCCCCCAGUACCCUUUGUCUUACUCGUCUUUCAACAAUUCAGUAUGUCCUUUUCCUUCCAAGUAAUUUAAAUUAUUAAAGCUGGAAAAUUUAAUCUCAAUGAAUUCCUCCUUUUCAAAACAUGUCUACGCGACCUUAUGUUCUUUCAGUAAUAAAAAACAACAACAAUGAUGUCGAGUCUAUCUAACAUUCAACGUCCAUUUUGAACAGCUAAUUAUGACAAUUUAAAAUCUAACAAGGCCCCUGCACUUCUUAUAUUGGUCAAAUCAAUCCCUCUAGAUGGUGCGAAGAAAAUAAAAUAUAUGUCCAAAGACAAUAGGGCCGCCCACCCGAGGCUGCUCGCGAAGACAAGAAGAGAGGGAGAGAAAAGAGGGAAGGAGGAGAAGAAAUGGGUAGCCCAACCGAACCCUCUCUAAGCCUAGCACGAUUGAGCUCUUUCCUUCCUAGCUAGACCAAUAAAACCAUCUUCGACCUUGGUUUAGCCGACUCUUAUCCUAAACCAAACCAAAGGUGGAGAGAAGAGAAGGAAAAGGGGAGAAAAGGUCAAUCCAAUCUUAGCCCAAACCCUGUACCUAGCCUUCAAUGACCACCUUUUCUUGCCAAUAAACCAUCUCAGGCCAAGACUAUACUAAUAUUGACUUCUAUGCUAACAGCACUCCUAACCUAUAAUGGCCAAUAUUUUUUUAUUUCAUAAACAUAAAAAUGCAUGAAAACACCUAGAUAAGACGUAUAAAAAGCCAAAAAGAAUCUUCAAGGACAAGGAUAUGAAAAUAAAAAUAAAAAAACCAAACUGAACUUGUAUAUGACCAUAAAAACACAAGAAUACAAAUAAAACACAAUAAAAAAAACCAUGUAUUUGCUUCUUCAAUUCCAGGGACUCCUUAUUGGUUGCAUUAUUAAAAAUAGUAAUAAUAGCUUUCACUGGCUGUAUCAUUGGAUCAAUUAUUUCCAAUAGAAAAACGUCCUGAAAAGAUCAAAGAUCAAAGCAAUGCUCUAAAAUCAUAAUUUCUAGAGAACACUUACUUUACAGCCAUUAGUCAUGUGAUUUGCUUCAAGGCAAGGUACGAGAAAAAAACAUAAAACCCAACCCAAGUAUAAAGAAAACCAAGCCACAAGGAUAAAGAGAUCGUGAAAUCACCAUAACCUAAUAGAUGAUUUAUGAAUUGUCAAGGAACCAACUCAACCCAAUAGUUUAAGCUGUUAGGUGAGGUUUCAGGAUAUGAUUUAUAUUAUUCUCUAACACACCCCCUCAAGUGAAAGCCAUUUGGACUUGAAACUUGCACAGGCCCACAUUACCUUGUGUUUAAUUUUUUUUAUCAAAUAAAUGGAGAUGGUGAGAUUCGAACUCGUGACCGCUUGGUCAUCAAUGCUCUGAUACCAUGUCAAAGAACCAUCUCAACCCAAUAGCUUAAGCUGUUAGGUGAGGUUUCAGGAUAUGAUUUAUAUUAUUCUCUAACAUGAAUCAAUUUGGAGUCAAAUUUAACUAUAAUUUUCACUCCAAAAAAGUCUUUUCUCACCAAUAACUAUCUCUUUUAAAUUGUCUAAGACCAACUUUUUCUCCAAUGACUAUUCCUAAGCUGACGAUACACCAAUUCUUUUAGCUUGUCCACCCUUUUCAUCAAUGGCUAUCUCUAAACCUAACUUUGCACCACCUCUCAUGGCUUAACCACCUUUUUACCAAUGACUUACUCUCCAACACCAACCCUAAUCCCUCAAUGACAAGCGUGACAUAUCAUUAAAUACCACAUGUCAUUAGGUAAAAAGCUCAAACAAACUCAUUUGAUUUAAUUACUCUCUUGUUCCAUAUAUAACAUUGUUCUCAUUACCACACAUCCUUUCUUCACAUACAUAUUUUAUCUCUUCUACAUUUACUAACUUAAGUACCGAAGGGUCUUCUAUUUUGUCAAAAAACUUAUUUUGCAGGUUAGUCAUCAGCCUAUCAUACAACUAUGAAAAUCUAGAUCCAAUUUUAAAGACUUCAUCACCUCUAUAUAUUUUAAAUUAAAUAAAAAUUAACCCUUAAUUUACUUUUAGAUGAAGGUGAUUUUAACCCAUCAUCCUAUGGAAAAUGAUUCUCCAAUUACCUAUAAUUAGUAGUAGCCAGAGGAGUUGAUUUGAACCAAUUUAAACUAAAUUUAGUCCACUUGGACUGAAAGUCUUUUUAUAUAAUUAUUUAUUUUCUUUCUUCCUUUACAAUUUAUUUUUUUCACUUUAUUUUCAUAUAAAAGUCCUGCUUUUUGUCCCAUUAAUAAGCAUAUUAUUGUGUUUGUCUUAAAUUGUAGAUCCAAGUAAGAAAAGAAAUACACAUGUAAUGUAAUUAAUCCAUGUAUAAAAACCUAAAAUUAUCAUAUUUUAGGUUUAAAGCUUAUUUGUAAGUGCUUCAAUUCUCUACACUUAGAUGGUUAGAGAAAGGAGAGAAAAAAGUGAGUUUUUGAUUAAUUUUGAAUUUUAGAUUAAAUCAAUUUUGUGUAAUACUUUGUAAUCUUCUAUUUUCUCAUAGUGAAUUUCUUUUAUCAUCUUGCGAGUGGAGUAAGCCUAAGUUGUCGAAUUAAAUAAAUUCCUUGUGCGCUCUUGUGUGAUUAAUUGAAUUUAUUCUUUUAUAUUUCUUUACAUGUCAAUUGAUUUGAGAUCUUAAGGCUGUUUUCACAACACAUAUCUCGGCUCUCAAAGUUUCUACAUAUAAGUUAAGCACUUGAUGAUUUGUUUCAGCAAUGUGAUAUUGUUGAGUAGCAUCUAAAAGUUGCUUGAAUAGAUAUGCAUUUGCUCCUCUCAGUCAUUGAAUUGAAAUUUUAAUCUUAUAAAAGAAAUUAAAUAAAUUCCUUUAAAAAAGGCUACAUGUAAGGUGUCUACUUUCAAAUAAAAAAAAAUCUUAAACUUUUAAGUUUAAAUAUUUGGGUUUUGUAUUUAGAUUAUUAUUAUUUAUUUAAUUAGAAAAAUUAGUCUCUAAAACUUUCAAUUCAAUUUUUUUUAAAUCUUCUUAUGAUAUUCUAACAAUAAUUUUGUAUACAUUAACUCUAACAAAAUCCCAUUCUACUAAUGCUAGAAACUAUUUAAUAUCAAACGGCAAUUCAAACUCUCUCGUUGCCUAAAUAAUAUAUGUCGGAAGAUAUUGAGAAACUGAGAAUUAUAUUAUUUGAGCUUUGUGUUAUAAUAUCUCCCGAGAAGCUUUCAUGAGUGAUUAAUUAGGAUGAUCAUGGAUUAUAAUUCUUGCAUCUUUCUUUUCUUCUUAAUAUUCUAAUUUUUCAUUAUAUAUAUUACUUAGUUGUUCACUUGUUUUUAGUUUAUUUUAAUUUUCGUUGUUCAAAAGGUCAAAAAGUCUCAUUUUUUAUAAUCCUCUAGCUCUCUCUACAUUAUAUACACUUACUAAUACAUAAGAUGAUAAAUUUUUUCAAUUAAUUGCAAUCAUAAUCAAUAUUUGAAAAACUAAUAUUUUUGAUCAAUAUUUGAAGAACUAAUAUUUUUGAUGUUUUUUGAAAUAGCCUAAUUCCCUGUCUAAAAAGAUCAAAUAAUAUAGUGUUAAUCCAUUGACUUGUGGGCGAGGCUUGCAUCCAUACCCAAUAUCCCUAGGCUUGGUAGAAUAUCAAGCUCAUAUGACACAUGUCUGCUCACUUCUAGGCCCAACAUACUUGAGUUCAAUCACGUGCUAAGCCCAAACGGACAUGAGAUUGACGAGUUGUCUGACCUAACAUUCUUAAGUCAACCAUGGGCCGAGUCCAAACAAACGUAGGUCUGAUGAGUUUUCAGGCUCAACAUCCUUGGAUAAUCCACGUGCUGCGUCUAAAUAGAUACGGGUCUGACUAGUUGCUAAAUCCACGUCUCCUGGACUUAGGUGCAUGCCAAGCCCAAUUAGUCUAGAAGUUGUUAUAGGCCCAUUUUAGGGCCAUAAGACUCUGUUUAUUUAUUCUUAAUACUUUCAACAUGAAAUCUUCAUGUCAACGAUAUUUGUUUCCCUACAUUUAUAGGUAUAUAAAAACUUUCCCAAUAGCUUAUUAUAUUUCCAUCUCAUUAAUUAAAGUGUAAGAGAUAUUUGUCCCUUAUUAAUAUUGUGUAUGAGAUAUUUUUCUCUCAUUAAUGUUGUGUAAUGUAUAUUUAUCCCUCAUUAAUUAUAUUAUGAGAAAAUGACUCUCUAACCCCUCUACUCUAUUAAAACGACAAGAUUAAGAAAUUUUAACUGCCCUAUGAACCACCCAGAUAAAAGGUUAACAAUUUCUCUCAUCUAAGUAUUCAUACUUUAAUUCUCAGAGUAUUUAUUAUAUAAAACAAGAACAAAUAUUUUUAUUUUGGAAUUUAAAGUUUAUUCUUUCAUUUAUUACAAUUUCUUAUUAAAAAAAUCAUUGACUUCAUCAUAUGAGGCUCCCUAAAUCCUAACAAAAGGGACUAUUUUGUAGUUAUUGAGCUUUCUACCAUCAAUCAUCUACUUUCCAAGCUUUAGAAAAGAGAAUAUUGAUCUAAGUGUGUGAUUAACUACUAUCUAAAAUAUUAAAUAAUCUCAUUCAGGAGCAUAUUAUAUUUUGAAACAUCAUUAAUAUUGAAUCAUAAUUUAUGUAACAUUAUUUUGUUUUUUUAAAGAAAAUUAUAUGAAUGUAUAUAUAUCAAUAAUAAUAAAAAAUUGGAAAAUAGCCUAUGCUAGAAAAUUUUAAAAGUAACCAACAUAUGGUAAUACCUUAGAUGCAAUAUGUAUUGAAAUUAAUUAAAUUUUAUUAUUUUUGUACAAUGAGUCAUAUCUAAUUUUUCCAAAAAAAAGUAUAAAUAAAGCAUUUCAAAUUACUUCCAAUUUAUUAAAAAAAUAAUUGUUGAAAAUCCAAUAACCGUAACAAUUAUACAUGAAAAAUUUUAGUAAGAUUAAAAAAAAAAGAAAUUAAAGAUUAAAAUAAAGAAGAUUCAUGGAAAUUAAUCAUGUAUUAUCUACUAUGUAUCCAAUAUUUUUCAAAUACUAAAGACUAGAAUCUAAGAAAACCCGCCAUAAUUUUUCUUGCAGCAGGAACUAGCAGGUAGAUUUUAUAUCAAGAAAAGAAAAACAUGAUGAUUGACAAUAACUUGUGAAUCAAUGGCAAAAAAAGUUUGAGUUUUUGAUGAUUUUUUGCAGCCUAAUUGUGGCCUGUUUGUGUUUCUUUAAUCUCAAACAAUUGGGCUUGUGGGCUAUAAUAAUUAUGUGGGCUUUCUGUCUCUUUUCAAAAGUCACAUAUUUAAGCUAUAUAUAUACAUGUAAAAUUUAUUGCAAUGUCAUUUGUUUGACAAUAUUAAUUGCAAUUGAUUUUAAAGGAAAAAUUAUUAUUUAAUUCCAAUUUUUUUAAUGAAAUAAUUAGUUAAUCUCUGUUUUGUUUUUCUAAUUUAAUAUUGAGUCCCUAUAUUCUCAUAUUUGAUUGUAAUUUGGUAUUUUUGUUAGUUUUUUUUACCACAAUUAAAAAAUCCUUCAUUUAUAAUCAAGAUUCUCAAUUUCUUAUCUACUACAGACGGAAUUAAAUGUUUAUUUAAAAAGGAAAAAUUAAAAUUUUCAAAAACAUAAAAUAAAAAUAACAGCUUACUUUGGUUAGGAGACUAACUUAUGAUUUUCAAGAAUAAAGGGACUAACUUAUAAAAUCAUAAAAAACACAGGGACUAAAUUAUAAUUUACUCAUUAAUAUUUCUGUAAUAAGGUUAUAUAGAUUUUACAAUUAUUACAACUAAGAUUGUCUUGUAAAUGCAACUUAGGAUUUUUUUUUAGUUUUUCAUCAAAUUUAAAUUAUUUCCCCCCCCUAAAAAUCCCUUGUCUGUAAUCAAAUAUUCUAAUUUUAUCUUCUACACACAAAAUUACAAGAGUAAUUUCAAGUUUUCAAAAACAAAAUUGAAAAUUCAUAGUCAACUUUAAUCGGGAGACUAACGUAUAAUUUUAAAAAAUAGAGGGACUAACUUCCAAAACCAUCAAAGCACAAGACUGAAUUACAAUUUACUCAUAGUAGAAUUUACAAUUUAUUGCAUCUAAGAUUUGUUUUGGGUAAUUGUGAUUAUUAAAUAAAAAUAGUGGAUUCUAACAUGUUUUCUCUCAAUUAUAUAAGAAUUAGUACCAAAACCCAAAACCAACUAAAACUGUAAUUAUUAAAGUAUGCAAUUUUUAAGGUGUUAAAAAAUUUCAAUGCGAGAGUUUAAAAGUAUGAGAUUAAUGUAACUAUAAUUAAAAUAUUUUUUAUUUUUUUAAAUAAUAUUAUGGUUUAUUUUUCUGAACUCAUUAAUCAGAAAAAAUUAAAUACUUCUUCUCCCACAUCUUUCUUCCCUUAUGCUCUUUGUCCUAUUCCCCUCUCCACAUUUUUCUGAAAUUAUGUACACGAAGUAAGAUUUUUCUUUUCAAGUUUUUUAAGCUUGAAAAUAAAAUACAUUUAAAUUAAAAAAUAAUGAAAUCAUUAAAAAAAUAAAUAAAUAAAACCCACGCAAAUGCGUGAGCCGCUUGACAAUUUUUAUACACAAUAUUGCAAAAGUCAUGAAUACUAAAAGAUAUUUAUUUGAUCUAUAUAUAGAAACAAGCUUUUAUAAGGAAUCCAUAAAUGCAAAAUCUUGAGGUCUAACAAUGAAGAAAUUAAUUUUGGAAAAUUUUCUCAUACCACAAUCUAAAAUUAUACCUUUUUUCGAGGGGGACAUCUUCUAAGGAUUAAUUUCAUAGUUUUUAUAAAAUCUUGAAAAAUUCAUAAUAAUAGGAACCAAAUUAAUUUUAACCAUUGCCUGAACAUCUCAAUAUCUUAAUUUAAUAAGAUCCAAAAAUAAUUAAUUUUGAUAAAAAUACAAUUCCAUUACAUCGGAUUUACAAAAACAUAUAUAGAAUUCAUAAAUAAUAAAAUCUAAAUAAAAAUGUAUCUACAACUCAUAAAUUAAUUUAUAGUUAUCUCAUAUCACUACAUAAAAAUCUUUAUCUCCUUUUGCAUCAAACUUACAAAAACUUUAACGAGAUCCUUAAAUAAUAAUAAAAUCUGAAUGAAAUACUUAUAUGAAAAAAAAAAUACAAUGAAUAUAUUAAUUUAAAUAUAUCUUACAUCAUUGUCUAAAUUUUUUUUUAUCUCCCUUUACAUAAAAAUUACAAAAACUUGCGUAGGACCCAUAAAUAAUGAAAUUUGAAUUAAUUAAUAAAAUCUACCCUUGCAGGCCUAGGCACACCUGCCCUUGCUUAGGCCCUAGGAACUAGUCCAUUAUGUUCAGACUUUUGGACUUGUUUUUAAAGGGCUUUACUUUAUUUUUUUUAACGUCAUUUUCAUAAAACCUAAACUAAAAAAUUUAUUUUUUUUAAAAAUUCAUACAUAAAUAAUUGUUUUUUAGAUUAUGGCGGGAUAAAUAUUAAUUUUGCUUAAUUUUUUUUUAAAGUGUAGAUUUUUAAUGAAGUUAUCUCGGUCUCAUAAUGUAAGUUGAGAAUUUUGUACGUUAACCCGGAUUGACUUGAUUUUUUUUAUUUUUUUAUAAUUAAUUUUUUAUAAUUUUAUAUUUCGACAAUGGGCUGGUUAAAAAAUUGCCUUUGUAUAUUUUUAUUUAUUUAUUUUAUAUGGGAGGAUCCUGUUUUCAUGACUUGAGUCACAUGUUUGAUUUUUUUUUCUAGGUUUACUCAAGUUAUUUUUUCAAAUUGGAUUUUUUUUUAAUUUUUAUCCGUUAAUAUUUGAUUGAAUGAAAUACUUGGGCUUCCUAAUUUAUAUAAAUUUACGUUUUAUGAGGUUAUCACGAUCUUAUGACUUAAAUUGCGGGUUGAUCCAGAUCGAUUUAAUAUAUUAUCAUCUUAAUUUUCUUUUAAUGUUAUCCUGUAUGUCAUAAUCUUAGUAUUUGAAAAGCGUAUAAUCUAGCAUGCAUCAUAUUUUAGGCUUCUUAGCAUCUUUACAUUUAUUACACUUAAAAAAAAAAGAUUUGAUCUAGAACGAGAACAUAGCACGAGUCAAAGAGCUAGUAAUUAAUGAAUGUGAACAAAAAAACAUAUUAAUUUAUAGUUAUCUCAAACCGCUCAUUAAACCGUUCAUCUCCCGAUAUAUUGAAGUUAUUAAAACUUAAAUAAGAUCCAUAAAUAAUGAGAUUUAAACAAAAGAUAAUUCCAUUAUAUCGGAUUUAUAAACACUUAUAUAGAGUUCAUAUAUAGGAAAUCUAAACAAAACAUGUAAAUUGUACAACGGAUAUAUUAAAUUAAAAUUAUCUCAUAUAAUUAUUUAAAAUUUUAUUUUUUUUAUCGAUCAAGCUUACAAACACUUAUAUGAUAUCCAUAAAUAAUGAUAUUUGAACAAAAAAAAAAAUAAAAGAUUCCACUACAUCAUACUUACAAAUAUUUAUAUGGAAUCAUAAUAAUGAAAUCUAAAAAAAAAAACAUAGCAAAAAUAUUAUUAUUUUUUUCAAAAAAUUAUAUCACGUACACUAGAGUCUAGAUUUUUCUUUUCCUGCAGGAACACUUUUUAAUUAGGCUUGAUUAAGAAUUUCUUUAAUAUUGUCAUCUAUUUUAUUAUAAUAUAUUUAAAACAAUUACUAUAAUUAAAUUUGAUGAUUGUGUAAAAGAAUUUAGAGUGAGUUUAUAUUUUAAAAAAUAAUGAAUAAAUAAACAACUUUUCAUGAAGUUUAAAUAUAUAUUCAAGGUGCUUUCGUGUAUAUUAGCUUGAAUUUAAAUGCCAAACGAGAACCUAACAACUAUAUAUUAAUUAACAUACGUUGGAAUAAUUAAUUUAUAUAUAAUCUUGUCAAUAUAUCUAUAUAUUGCUUAUGCAAGGAUAAGGGAACAAUAUUCGGAUAACAGAGAAGGAUAAAAUUUGUGCUUAUCUGUGGUAUAGUACUGAAUUAUACCGUUUUUUUUUGUCAUAUACAUCAUCACCAUGCAAAACAAUAUCUAGAAUUUACUUGAUUUCCUUUUAUUGGUAUCGAGUAAAUCUUAUCUUUUCAAGGGAUAUAUUGGCAUAUUAAAUGAUGGCUGUGUGUGCCAAUUUUUCAAUUGAUGGGUUAAUAAAUUUAAAUACCCAAUAUAUUUAUAGUAUAUUAUGAAAAAAAAUACUACAUACAUAAAAUAAUUAAUCACUUGUAAGAUUAUGGUUAAUUACCCAUAAAUAAAUAAAUAUUAAUUAUAAUUGCAAGAUGAUGAACCUUGGAUAUACAUUAGGACUUAUCACCGGGGCUACACUACAAGAAUAUACAACCAUAAUUAGCAAAAAUAGCACACAGCUUUUACAACACUUAAAUGUCUGAAUAAGGGAACAGAUAAGCAAAUCUAAAAAAAACAGCAUAAUUCAUGUAUUUUACCCAUUAAUCAAAGAUAAGGCAUUGCCCAUGAUAUACACUCCUACCAACUCUCCACACGAUGCCACAGAUUUUUUAAAUUAUUUGUGUAUCUAAAUAUAUAUUCUUAAUUCCAAUAUAGGUAUGCAACCUUGAUAGUACUUGCCAAAUAAAUCAAAAUGUCCAGCGAAGGAAUUGACAAAAUGCACCGUAAUCUUGCUGUGGGGUUACGCAUGAGCAUCUCUCCAACCUAUAUAUAGAGGGUAGAGUGUUUGAGGAAAGAUAUACCCAGACCAAGAAUCUUACCCCCCAACCUAGCCAUGACUAGAAAGAAGGUGAAGCUUGCAUAUAUCUGUAAUGAUUCUGCAAGGAAAGCCACCUUCAAGAAAAGGAAGAAGGGCCUAAUGAAGAAGGUGAGCGAGUUAAGCACCCUUUGUGGUAUUGAUGCUUGUGCUAUCGUUUAUAGCCCUUAUGACUCUCAACCUGAGGUUUGGCCCUCUCCUCUAGGGGUCCAAAGAGUGGUUACUAAGUUCAAAACCAUGCCAGAAAUCGAGCAAGGUAAGAAAAUGGUGAAUCAAGAGAGUUUCUUGAGACAAAGGAUCACCAAAUCCUGUGAUCACAUCAAGAAACAGCGGAAGGACAACCGUGAGAAGGAGGUCACCCAUGCUAUGUUCCACUGCCUGGGUGGAAAUGUUAGCUUGGGUAACCUGCAUAUGAUGGACUUGAAUGACCUUGGAUGGAUGAUUGACCAUAGCUUGAGGGACAUCGACAUGACCCUAAACAAUGGGAGUGGCAGUGGCACUAGCCAUACCUCUCAAUUGGAAGCAGCUGCAACCACUGGGGCUGGACCUAGCAGUGCUAGAGAGCAAGCGCCGGAGUCAUCUCAGAUGGUUACUAAUGAUUUUGAGGUUAAUGUGGGUGCCAUGCAGAGGCAGGAAUGGUUCAUGGACUUGAUGACCCCUCAAGAGCAUAUGGGGUUUGGCGGGGAAGACAUGGUGCUGCCUUCUGGGGAUAACAGCCAGAAUGGACUUUGGACCAAUUCAUUUUUCCCUUGAAAUGGUUAAUUAAUUUGCUUUCUUAAUUAUGAAUUGUCUUUAAUUUCCUGAGCUUUUUUAGCUAUUGUUUGGACACAGUUUCAUUACAGUAUUUUACUUAUGAAUAAAUUUCUUGUCUACCAAAUCUACAUGAAUUAUAAUAUGUUCAUGGUAUUUCGAUUGCUUGUUUCUAUCUUUUCUCUGAUUUAAUUUCAAAUAUUAUAUAUCGUGUCAUCCAUUAUCAAUUCUUGAAUCAAAUAUUAUGAUUGGUUGACAUGAUGGAAUAUAUAAUCAAAUCAAAACAUUUUCUUACAACAAUAUUAUCACUCUACAUAUUCUAAUUAAAGCAGGGAGUAUGAACAUGCAGACAAAUUUAAUAAGAUUUAACACUGCAUUUUCCCAUUUGAAACAAAUGAUUUCUCACCAGAUAUAAUAUAAACUAAGGAUUUUAUAAGGCCUAAUUAUUUUAUUUUUAGCCAAACUGAUUAUGCAGAUUUAUAGGAUCUAAUUAUAUAAUUAAUGUGAAAACACAAAAAAAUAAUUGAUCUAGGGCAAUAGACAAACAGCACUGUUAUACAACUCAGUAACUAGAAAAACAUUGAGAGAAGGAAUUUGGAAGAAAAAUAUUUAUGUAUAUGUCCAAAUUAAUGAACCUCUUUUACUGAUCUGUAGGAUCAGUACUAUGGAAACUGUCCUGCCUGUUAUCUCUGUUACAUCAUGAUAUAUAUAUUAAAAAAAAAAAAACAGAGAGAGAGAGGGGGGGGGGGGGAGAGGAAGAAGAAGGAUCAAUGAGUAGGCAACUUAAUUAAUUAAUAGUCAUAUAUGGUCUAAAUAUAAUGCAAUGAACACAAAUACAAUGCAAAAGUCAUGAAAACUAGAAGGUAUUAAUUUAUAUAUUUUUUGGAAUGAAGAUAUUAAUUUUGGAAAAUAUUAAGGUCUAACAAUGAAGAUAUUAAUUUUGGAAAAUCUUCUCAUACCUCUAUCUAAAACUACACCUUUCUUCGAGGGCCAUAAUUUUAAGGAUUAAUUAAUUUAAAAAUCUCUUAUAAGAUUUUGAAAAUUGAUAAUAAUAGGAACUAAAUUAAUUAGUUUUACAACAGAGAAAAUUCUGGUGUUGUCCGAACAUAUAUCUUUAAUUAAGAUCUUCAUAUUCAUGAUCUUGUUAAUUACAUUAAACUCAUAAACAUAAAUGAGAUACAUGAAUAAUAAAAUUUGAACAAAAUACGAUUUUAUUAUAUGAGACUUAUAGAAACUUAAUUAUAUAGAAUUCAUAAAUAAAGAAACAUAAGCAAUAUACAUACAUACAUACAUACAUACAUACAUACAUACAUACAUACAUACAUACAUACAUACAUGACACACACAACUAAUACAUUAAUUUGAAUUAGUUAUCUCAUAUCAAUAUUGUAACAACUCUUACAUCAAACUUAGAAAAACUUUUAAGAUAUCUCAUGUCAUUGUCUACAAUUUUUAUCUUCCUUCACAUCAAGCUUACAAAAGCUUGCAUACAAAUCCAUAAAUAAUAAAAUCUAAAUAAAUGACGAACUCAUUACAUCGCACUUACAAGAAUGUCACGGGGUUAAUUUUUCAUUCCAAAAAUAGAUCUUGUGCGACAGUCUAGUCUCAUCAGAUUCAGCCUUUCCCUCACUGAUUUACUCGUGUUUUGCCUACAACUAGUUUGUCCCACAAACUCAAGAGAUUACCCACACUUUUUCAAUAUUACAAGCACACAGAAUAACACAAAUAAAUAGAAGCAGAAUGCACAACCCAAACAACCAAAAAUGUCAAGCACCUAUGUAAGAUUUUCAUAUCAUUUUACAUCAAACUUGAGAUUCUAAAAUAAUAAAAUCUGAAUAAUUUAAAGAUAUCUCAUACUGCCCUCUAAUUUUUCUUAUCUAUCUUUAUAUCAAACGUUUUUUAAAAAUCUUGCAUGGAAUCUAUAAAUUAUAAAUUUGAACAAAAGACAGUUCUGUUACAUAAGAUCUAUAUAAAAUCUAAAUAAAAGACUGUCCAUUAAUAUCAUUCCUACAGACAUUUGUAUGGGAUUCAUAAAUAAUAAGAUUUAAAACAAAUUUUAUGUGCAACAAAUAUAUAAAUUUAAAGUUAUCAUAUACCAUUGUCUUAAAUUCUUUCAUCUCCCUUUACAUCAAACUUACAAACACUUGCAUGGAAUCAUAAAUAAUAAAAUCUGAAGAGAAGUUGAUAUUGUGACAUUGGAAUUACAAAUUUAUAUACAUGCAAAAUUUUUAAAUAAUAAAUUUAAACAAGAAAAGAUAUGUAUAUCAAAUAUAUCAAUUCAUUUUUAUCUCAAACUACUCUUCAAAACCGUUUAUCUCCCUUGCAUUAGACUUCCUCAAACUUAAAUGAGAUCCAUAUGAACAAAAAAUUAUCCCAUUAUAUUAUAUUUAUAAACACUUAUAUAAGAAUCUUAUUUAGGUUUAUCUCAUUACGUUGGACUUCCAAACAUAAAUAUACGGAAUUUAUAAAUAAUGAAUCUAAACAAAAUAAGGCAUGUACAACAAAUAUAUCAAUUCAUUUUAUCUCAAACCAUUCUCUAAAAAAGUCAAUCUUUGUUGCUUUAAACUUACUUAAACUUAAAUGAGAUCCGUAAAUAAUGAGUUAUGAACAAAAAAUGAUCCUAUUAUAUUGGAUUUAUAAACACUUAUGUGAGAAUAUCAUUUAAGUUUAUCUCGUUACGUUGGACUUACAAAUAUAGAAAUGCGAAAUUUAUAAAUAAUGAAUCUGAACAAAAAAAGGCAUAUACAACAAAUAUAUCAAUUCAUUUUAUCUCAAACCACUCUCUAAAAAAAUUAAUCUCUUGUUGCUUUAAACUUACUCAAACUUAAAUGAGAUUCAUAAAUAAUGAGACAUGAACAAAAAAUAAUCAUAUUAUAUCGGAUUUAUAAAUACUUAUGUUAGAAUAUCAUUUAAGUUUAUCUCGUUAUGUUGAACUUACAAACAUGGAUAUGUUGAACUUACAAACAUGGACGUGGAAUUUAUAAAUAAUGAAUCUGAAGAAGAAAAGACAUGUACAACAAAUACAUCAAUUCAUUUUAUCUCAAACUUUCUAAAAAAGUUCAUCUCCCAUUGCUUUAAAUUUACACAAACUUAAAUGAUAUCCAUUAAUAAUGAGAUAUGAACAAAAAAUGAUCCUAUUAUAUCGGACUUAUAAACACUUAUGUGAGAAUAUCAUUUAAGUUUAUCUCGUUACGUUGGACUUACAGAUAUAGAUAUAUGAAAUUUAUAAAUAAUAAAUCUGAACAAAAAAGUUAUGCACAACAACUAUAUCAAUUCAUUUUUAUCUCAAACACUCUCUAAAAAAGUUCAUCUCCCGUUGCUUUAAACUUACUCAAACUUAAAUGAGAUAUGAACAAAAAAUAAUCCUAUUAUAUCUUAUUUAUAAACACUUAUGUGAGAAUAUCAUUUAAGUUUAUCUCGUUAUGUUGGACUUACAAACAUAGAUAUGCUGAAUUUAUAAAUAAUGAAUCUGAACAAGAAAAGACAUGUACAACAAAUAUAUCAAUUCAUUUUAUCUCAAACUUUCUAAAAAAGUUCAUCUCCCAUUGCUUUAAAUUUACACAAACUUAAAUGAGAUCCAUUAAUAAUGAGAUAUGAACAAAAAAUGAUCCUAUUAUAUCGGAUUUAUAAAUACUUAUGUGAGAAUAUCAUUUAAAUUUAUCUCGUUAUGUUGGACUUACAAACAUAGAUAUGUUGGAUUUAUAAAUAAUGAAUCUAAACAAGAAAAUGUAUAUACAACAAUUAAAUAUAUUAAUUCAUUUUUAUCUCAAACCACUCUCUAAAAGCAUUUAGCUCCCGUUGCUUUAAACUUACUCAAACUUAAAUGAGAUAUGAAUAAAAAAUGAUCCCAUUAUAUCGGAUUUAUAAACACUUAUGUGAGAAUAUCAUUUAAGUUUAUCUCGUUAUGUUGGACUUACAGAUAUAGAUAUAUGGAAUUUAUAAAUAAUAAAUUUGAACAAAAAAAGUUAUGUACAACAAAUAUAUCAAUUCAUUUUUAUCUCAAACACUUUCUAAAAAAGUUCAUCUCUCUUUGCUUUGAACUUACUCAAAAUUAAAUGAGAUAUGAACAAAAAAUGAUCUUAUUAUAUCAGAUUUAUAAAUAUUUAUGUGAGAAUAUCAUUUAAGUUUAUCUCGUUAUUUUGGACUUACAAACAUAGAUAUGUUGAAUUUAUAAAUAAUGAAUCUAAACAAGAAAUAGUAUAUACAACAAAUAUAUUAAUUCAUUUUUAUCUCAAACCACUCUCUAAAAACAUUUAGCUCCCGUUGCUUUAAACUUACUCAAACUUAAAUGACAUCCAUAAAUAAUGAGAUAUGAAAAAAAAUCCUAUUAUAUCAUAUUUAUAAACACUUAUGUGAGAAUAUCAUUUAAGUUUAUCUCGUUACGUGGACUUACAAAUAUAGAUAUUUAAAAUUUAUAAAUAAUGAAUCUGAACAAGAAAAGGUAUGUACAACAAAUAUAACAAUUCAUUUUUAUCCCAAACCACUCUCUAAAAAAGUUCAUCUCCCGUCAAUUUAAACUUACUUAAACUUAAAUGAGAUAUGAAUAAAAAAUGAUCCCAUUAUAUCGGAUUUAUAAACACUAAUGUGAGAAUCUCAUUUAAGUUUAUCUUGUUAAGUUGAACUUACAAACAUAGAUAUGUGGAAUUUAUAAAAAAUGAAUCUGAAUAAGAAAAGGUAUGUACAACAAAUAUAACAAUUCAUUUUUAUCCCAAACCACUCUCUAAAAAAGUUCAUCUCCCGUCAAUUUAAACUUACUUAAACUUAAAUGAGAUAUGAAUAAAAAAUGACCCUAUUAUAUCGGAUUUAUAAACACUUAUGUGAGAAUCUCAUUUAAGUUUAUCUUAUUUUGUUGGACUUACUCAUCUCCUGUUGCUUUAAACUUACUCAAACUGAAAUGAGAUAUGAACAAAAAAUGAUCUCAUUAUAUGGGAUUUAUAAACACUUAUGUGAGAAUCUCAUUUAAGUUUAUCUCGUUAAGUUGGACUUACAAACAUAGAUAUGCGAAAUUUAUAAAUGAUGAAUCUGAACAAGAAAAGGUAUGUACAACAAAUAUAUAUACUUAUUAUUUUAUUUAUUUUUAUUUCAAACCACUCUCUAAAAAGUUCAUCUCCCGUUAUACUAAAUUUACUAAAACUUAAAUGAGAAUCAUAAAUAAUUAAAUAUGAACAAAAAAAAUCAUAUUAUAUCAAAUUUAUAAACACUUUUAUUGGAUUCAUAUUUAUGGGAUUCAUAUAAAGGAAACUUGAACAAAAUACUUAUGUACAACAAAUAAAUUAAAUUAAAGUUAUCUCAUAUAAGUGUUUAAAAUUUUCUUCUCUUAAUCUAUCAGUUAAUCUUACAAACACUGACAUGGGAUCUAUAAAUAAUCUAAACAAAAUAAGAUCCUAUUAUAUCGGAUUUAUAAACACUAUUAUGAGAUUUCUAUAUAGGAAAUCUAAACAUAAUAUGUUUAUACAACAUAUAUAUUAAAUUAAAGUUUUCUCAUACAACCAUCUAAGAUUUUCUUCUUAUGAUUGAUCAUUCAAUCUUAUAAACAUUUAUAUGGAAUCCAUAAAUAAUCUUAACAAAAGACGAUAUCUUUUUAUCGGAUUUAUAAACAUUUUUAUGAGAUUCAUAUAUAAAAAAUUUGAACAGAAUACAUAUGUACAAUGAAUAUAUUAAAUCAAAGUUAUUUGAAAUAAUUAUUUAGAAUUUUCUCUCAUGAUCAAUCAAUCCGUCUUUUAAACACUUAUAUGAGAUCCAUAAAUAAUUUGAAUAAAAGACGAUCCCAUUAUAUCAUAUUUAUAUAAACUUUUAUGAGGUUUAUAUUUAGGAAAUCUAAACAUAAUGCGUAUAUAUGUACAACACAUAUAUUAAAUUAAAAUUCUCUCAUGCAACUAUCUAAAAUUCUCUUCUUAUGAUCAAUUGAUCAAUCUUACAAAUAUUUAUAUGAGAUUCAUAAAUAAUAUGAGCAAAAAAUAAACCCAUUAUAUUGGAUUUAUGAACACUUUUAUGAGAUUCAUUUAUAGAAAAUCUAAACAAUUACAUGCGUACAACAAAUAUAUUAAAAUAAAGUUAUCUCAUACAACUAUCUAAAAUUUUAUUCUUAUGAUCGAUCGAUCAAUCUUACAAAUACUUAUAUUGAAUUCCUAAAUAAUCUGAGCAAAAAAUAAUCCCAUCAUAUUGGAUUCAUUAACACUUUUAUGGGAUUCAUAUAUAGGAAAACUAAAUAAAAUAUGUAUUUAAAACAUAUAUUAAAUUAAAGUUAUUUCAUGCACAUUCUCAUAAUCGACGUUGAGAUUUUCCUCAUUGAGUCGACGUUGAUAUUGCUCAUUUUCAAAAAAUAUAAGAAAAAACAAAAAAAUCAAAAUUUUACAAAAAACAAAAGUUGAGGGACCAAUUUUGAGGGCCAAACAACAUUUUGCCUAUAAAUAGUUGCCUUCAACACACACCAAAAAGGGGGAAUUUUGAACUUUUGGGGGGAGAAAAAUUGAAAAGGGGAGGGGGGCCGAUUUGAAAAAAGGAAAUAACAAGGAAACCCUAAAUCUUCCUUAGCGCUGUUUCGGCCUGCAGAAGGGCUUCCCUGUAAUUUCAGAUUGUUUUGGGGAUAUUAUUGUAAUUGUAACGUAAUUUUUGUUUAUUUUUUUUGAAUUUGUAUUUUGUAUUGUGGAUGUAAAAAAAAAGGAAAAUAAAAGAAAAGAAAAGAAACAAAAAAAUAUAGGAAAAGUGAAUGUGUGUGUUUGUAUUUGUUUUAUUUUUUAUAUGUAUAUUUUUUUUAUGAUAAAACUGCAAAGAUUAAAGAAGAAUCUAAUAUUUUGAUUGGAUCACGGUCAAGAAUUAUUAACUUAUACGCAAGUUGUAUUUCUAAUACCCGAUGAAAAGACAAAAAUUUUAAAACUUCUUUAACACGUCAAAGUCACGAAGCAGCUUACCUCAGGUAGGGUGCGUUAGGGGUGCUAAUACCUUCCCUAACCACAACCAGUCCCUUACCCGCGAAUCUCUGACAAGACCAGUACAUCCGGUUUCCUAGUAGCCUUCAAUAAAUUACUAGGUGGCGACUCCAACGAACCAAUCAAAGCAAUCAACAUAAAGAAAAAAAUCGCCAGCCGAUGCCGCGCGGAUUUGACGUGCGACAGAAUGGCGACUCCACUGGGUAAGGUAUUGUUUUCGACAUUAUUGGACUAAGUUUUGUGUAUUUGAUGUGUUUUUGUUUUUGCAUUUUUGUCUUAUUUUAUUUUUGUUUUAUCCAUGCAUUUUGUAGAAUUGUCUCAUGCAUCACAUAUUGUAAUUUUUUAAAGCACACACAAGCUUCAGGUUAGGUGGGGGACUAGUAGCUUACCUUACGACUUUUAGUCAAGGUUUAAGUUUGUGUAAACCCCAACUCUUCGUUGAGUGCUUAGACUGGUAACAGUUGGUACACAUGUCAUCUCAUUGCCUACUGGGCCCCUAUAUUGCCUUCAAGAGGGUGAUCACUAGGACAACGAGAGACCCUUUUGAGACCAGGUAGAAAACCUACCCAUGUUCACAUAAUGAAUAGAACAUGUCCUUAGAUUGUAUGUGCUAUCUUUAUUUACAUCAGGGCAAACCCUUCUUGAAGCAUCUUGAACUCAAGACUUGUGGGUGACACAAUGACCGUCACUCAGAAAAUUUUCAUUGUAGAGUUUGGGCAAGAAUCAAGAUUCUUGUUUCAUCAUGCAAGAGUUACGAUCAUAUGUCACCCCUCGAAGGGCAAGUUCAUCAUAUAGAUUGCAUGUUCAUACAUUUAUCAUGCAUGUAUCGGGAUGAAAAAUAGGUUCCCCUAUCCGAGGUUUACUACACUGGAUGGAAAAAGAUGGAUAAUAAAGAAAGGGGUCAGAGAGAGGCACUGUGUCAAAAGGAAGUUGAGAGCAUCAAAGGUGAAGUAGCUAGACUCAGAUCUGUUUGAACAAGUGUUAAGCAUUAAAUGGAAAGGGAAUGUCUGCACAGUCUUUUAUGGGAACACUGCUUGUCCACGUCCAAUUGAAGCUGCACCUCUCCUCUUCAGCCAUGAACUACAGCAGCAAUGCCUUCAGUCAUCAACUAAGGACAACCCUUGUUCUUAUUCAGUUGCACUGUUAAUUGUUCAUCGCCUCCACAUCUUCUAAUGGCACCAAUAGCUGUUAGCCUUCUGUGCAUGGUGCAUUAGUCUUCUUUGAAAUUACCCCCACUUUGAGCUCAAUUCCAGUUCAGCGACAUAGGAUGCUGGUCUUAAAAAAAAAACCAUGAUUAUACAUUGAACUUCUAUGUGGCAGAGCUUUCUCUGUAAGGAUUUGUUUUUUAAUCUGCCAGUGGAGAAUGCAAGAGAGGAUGUAGUAGUUUCAUAUGCAUUGAAACUUUCUCCCACCAAUGGCACCAGUAAAACAUUGUAGUAGGCAGAAGAGCCGGACCCGGUCUGAAAAACAUGAGCAGACAUCAAACUUCAACGUGGCAGAGCUCUCUCGACAGAAAUCUGUUUGUGAAUCUGCAAGUGGGAAAUCCAAGAAAGGAUGUGGUAGUUUCAGAUCAUCUAUAAUCUUCUCCCACCAGUGUCAGCAUUGAAAUACAGAAGUAGGGAGAAAAGACAAACCUGGACUAAACAACAUGAAGAAGACUGAAACUUUAACAGAACUCCCUUUACAGGGGGCUAUUUGCUGCACCGUUAGUGAGGAAUCAAAGAGGAAAUAGAAGAGUUUUCAAUUCAUCAGGUUCUCUUCUAGUUUGGACAAUGUGUGAUUCCCCACAUUUUUUUGUUUUUGUGCGCUGCCAGGAUUACCUAGCUAUUGAGAGGUUUCCAGCAAUCCUAAAACAAUAACAACAACAAAAACAACAACAACAACAACAUUGAAAGAUUGACAUGAAGUUGGGUGGAUUGCCAAAAAUAUUGAACAAGUUAUCAAGAUGAGAAAGAUUGAAGGUUCUGCCAUGUAUUCCAAAAAUGAUGAGAGAUGAAUCAGAAGAUGACUUUAAAGGUGGGAAACCUUAGUUAUGAGGUCCAGUCAGAUCUCGCUCAAGCAUCAACUACUCCAAUGUCUUUGCCAAAGAUAGACAUUUCCUUUGCAAUGUGAGUUUAUUUACCAGCAUCUGCCAGAUUCCAGACUUAGUGCCCCGACUCCAUCAAAUCCCAUGCAAUCACUAUUUUCCUAGGUGAUAUAAUCCAAACAUGAGAUUUGAAUAUCAUGGGGGGGAUUUCAGGCUAUUCAGUUGAACAAUUGCAAGAAUCGAGUCCGGAAGUUGGUGGGCAAGAGACGACUAGAUUCUGUGAAGGAGGGUGUCAUUGGCUAUAUUGUCCCCCGAACAUCUUUAGAAUGAAAUGUGAUCGAAAAUGCUUGGCAAAACACAGAUAUUGCAAGAAAAGCUUAUUCAAGAAUGGCGAUGAAUUGUCAAUCAUAUUGUUAUGGAAUUUUGCAUUUUGUUUUGGGAUCAGAUCUCAUCCUUUAACGAAACAUGUCUUGUUUUUGUCUCUUUGUUGUUUUGAAAUCAACAGAUGUUUAGCAUUUUAUUCUGACAAAAUAUUUUGAUCAAACUCCAACAUGUGAGAAAGGUUAAUCAAUCCUAAAGAUUAAAAGUGUUUUGAUUACAGAAAUGACUCGAUGCUUGAAAAAACAAGAGGUGACCGAACAAAUUUUGAGCUCACACACAAAAUUGAACCAUACAUCAUAUAGCUAAGUUUUAGUAGUAUGCAUAAUGACAUGUAGUGGAUUCGAUAGUUAUGGACUCGUGAAUCAUGAUUCUUACAAGUCCCAAUUAUUACACUGGAUGAGGUCAAAAAUUAUCGGUUUUAACCGACCCUGCUUGAAAUGAGAAAAGGCCAUUUUUGUUAUCCCUUCACUUUCUAAAGAUUAUAUCCCUUGUAGUCCCAUUUUGAGCUGGAUAGAAUAUUCUUUCCAUAAAAACCCUGACUAGGAUCGCACCCCACACUGGGGGCAAAUGAGAGAUAUUUUGAAGACAUUGAUAUAAUUAAUGGAUAAAGGAGAAGGCUUAGAACAAAAGUCCAAUGAUUGAGAGAGGGUUGAAAGAAAACACAUAGACUGGGGGCAUAUAAGAAAAUUUUGAGGAAGGCUAUGAGAAAGCAAAAAAAAAAAAAAAAAAGAAAAAAAAAGAAAAAAAAAAGAUUGGAAAGAAUAAGAAGUUGAAAUUGCCUUCACUUGAAGACAAGUCAAAGAUAAAGGAAGGAGAACGCCUAUCAAGUCUAUGAAGAGCAAAAUAAAUUUCAAUCAAGGAAAGGCACAACAAAAGUCAAUAGCAGAAAAAAGACUAAGUUAUAAACGUGACUUUUGGUAUCCAUUAUAAAGCCUCUGAUGUUAUCAGAUAAUUAAGGUUGGUUAUUCAUCAAGGAAAGUUGGAUUUGCAUUAUGACUUAUGUUAAGAAAAUUCUGAUCUUUGAUAUUAACAAGGUUAUAUGUCACUUUCUCUACAAUGACAACAAGAGAAAGACAGUUGAUGAAUAGUUGAUGUUGAUCCUAGGUCUUUGAAACACUCGAACACCUUUUGAGCCUGUGAAUUUCCUUUCUUUCAUAAGCCAUGAACCAUAGUCUGCAUUACGUGCUUUUAAAAGCCCUUUUUAAUCAAGUAAGCAAGCUGAAGCGAUAAAUGGCGAUCUCAAAACUUGAAGAGUUUUUCAUAAGAGUCGUGGCUUCAUAGAUUAAGCUACUUGUUAUUAUAUAUGCUGAUAAAAUUGUUGCUAAAAAAAAAAGAAAACAAUCUUUCCUGAUGAAUCCUCAAGUUUUGACUUGAGCCUUUUGUUUUCCUUGAAAUUUACAGAAGGUCAUCUCAUCAUAGACCAUCAAAAAAGAUAUACCCAAGAUCAAAGAUUAAAACUGACACAAAGAACCAUGAAAAAAAAAGGAAAAGAAAAAGCCAUUUUAGUCUUACAACGGGUCAAUUUCUGUUUACAAAAUACAUGACAAUCAAAGGACUGUAUAUUUCGAAUAACGCGUGUUGGGUCUUUGAUCAAAAAGCUUGAUUUUCAAAAGGUCUUUUCAAAAAAGGACAUCUCUGAUUUCAUUUCAACAACUAGAUUUGAAUAGACAAGAUCUUUGAAAUAUGAGAGUUGAUUCCAAAACAAGGAAGAUUAUCAGACACAAAAGAACAUCGAUUGAGUCUGCGAAAUCCUUGAUAGAAAUGACAUUGAAGUCCUCGACACUCCUUGAAAAUUUGAGCAGCUGGGGGCAAUACAGUGGACCCUGAAAAGGAAAAAACAAGUAGUAUUCAGAUCAGCUAUGAGGCAAUGAAAGAUGAUUAAAUGAUGAGUCAGUGAACUGAAGACAAUGGUGUUCAAAGAAAGAUAAUCAGAUGAACAAGCAAACUCAGAUCAUAUUGGGGGCAAUGUUGGUCAAAGACAAUCCCAUCAGCAAUUGAUGAGCAGCGUUGCACUUAAAGGAUAUCUUCAUAUCUUCAUCUUGGUUUAUCAUCUCCAACAUGGCUACGACUUUUGAACGACGUUAUCACAUAGUCACAUUUGAAUGAAGUUGGAAGGAUGCACCCACCAAGACUGACUAUGGUACCUGUUGCUACCCAAUUUUUAACCCAUGUUUUGAUAAUUUUUCAGAAAAAACCAAAAAUAGCAAAAAAACAAUGAAAACCCAAAAAAAUGCAUUUUUGAUAUAUUUGCAUCGUUUUUAGCAUUUUCAACGUCAUCUCAAAAGAAUUUAAAUUUUCAAAGGUAUUUGGAACGCGUUCAACUUUUAACGUGUAAAUUUUAUGAUCACUGAUUUUCCUUGUUGAGUUGACGUUGAUAUUGCUCGCUUUCAAAAAUACAAAAAAAUAAGAAAAAUCAAAAUUUACAAAAAAAGAGGAAAAGAGAAGGAAAGGAAAAGUUGAGGGACUAGUUUGAAAACCUAGCAAAACUUUUCCUAUAAAUACCAUGCUACACUGAAUUUUUAAAAGGGGGGAAAUUUUGCAAUUAAAGGGGGCAGGGAACACAAAAACAAGAAACCCUAAAAGCUUAACAUUUUUUCUUCUCCCUCACCCUAGGCAGCCGCCGAAGCCCCCCUCUCCAUCUCAUUGUCUUCUCCCUCAACCGGAGCCGCCACCCCCCCUCUUGAUCAGAUUUUUCUCUUCUUCUCGCCAGCCUAGAGCUUGGCUCUUUGGACUGCACACAAGCCUCCCCUUCUCAGCCACCUCGUCUUUCCCUCUCCAGGCGGCUCAACUUUUCCCCCCAUUUCCUCUCAUCACCGUCCCAGCUGUUCCCUUCCAGCACAAGACUUUCCCUCUCUGGCAACACAGACAGAGACUGGCUUCUGCACCUCCCCACAGCAGCCGGCCACUACAUUUCUCUCAGCCGUUUGUCGCCGCCAGCAGCAGCAGCGUUGUCCUCACCAGUGAGCCACCAGCCCCCACACGGCAACGCCGGGGCACCACUCUUCUUCAUCUUCUGCAUGCUAAUAAAAUUGGUGCUAAAAAAAAGAAAACAAUCUUUCUUGAUGAAUCCUCAAGUUUUGACUUGAGCCUUUUGUUUCUUGAAAUCCACAGAAGGUUACCUCAUCGCAGGCCAUCAAAAGAUAUACCUAAGAUCAAAGAUUAAAACUGACACAAAGAACCACGAAAAAAGUCAUUUUAAUCUUACAACGGGUUAUUUCUGUCUUCAAAAUACAAGACAAUUAAAGGACUUCAUUGAAUGGCGUGUGUUGGAUCUUUGACCAAACAAGCUUGAUUUCUAAAAAUACUUUUCAAAAUUGACAUCUCUCUGAUUUCAUUUCAACAAUUAGACUUGAUUAGACAUGACCGUUGAAAUAUGAGAUUUGAUUCCAGAACAAGAAAGAUUGUCAAAUAAGAACAUCGAGCGAAUUUGCAAAAUCCUUGACAAGAAUGACAUCAACAUUUCUCGACACUCCUUGAAAAGUUGACCACCUGGGGGCAAUACAGUGGAUCCUGGGUAGGAAAACAAACAAUAUUCAGAUCAGCUGGGGGCAAUCAAAGAUGAUCAAAUGAUGAGUCAAUGCACUGAGGACAAUAGUGUUUAAAGAAAGCUAGUCAGCAGGACAAGCAUUCAGAUCAUUACUGGGGGCAAUGUUGUUCAAAGACAGUCAGUGAUUUAGUAAACUUCAGCAGCAAUUGAUGAGUAACGCUACAAUUGAAGGGCAUAUUAUUAUCGUCAGCUUGGGUUACCCUCUAAAACGUGGCUAUGACUUCUGACAUAUGUUAUCAAGUGAGUGCAUUUGAAUGAACAUCGAACAUAUGCAUACCACCAAGAGUGACUGUGGGACCAUCUAUUCUGAAGCUCAAAUGCGCACUUCACCGCAUGAAUAUGGGUGAUGAACAUCAUUGAUGAUGCCAAUGCAUUUCCUUUCAUGAUCUGAUUUGACAAGCUGAGAGGAAUCCGUGGAGAAGAACAUUGAGCUUACAACGAUGAGCCUUUUACUGCAAGGUAUGAGAUGUAUGUCUGGACGACUAGAUGAUUUCCAUGAAGACUGGUGAUAACAUAUACUUGAAGAGUAUUGUUUCAACUUGAGGCAAGUUUAUGACUGGUUGACAAUCUUGAUGGGUGUUGGCAUGAGGCACACAAUCAAUCAGAGGGUAAUUCUUAGAAGAAUCCAAAAGAGAAAAUUCUUCAUGAUAAAUCAAGCAACACCACACUUGGGGGCAUGGUUAAGCUUGAUAAACAGCGAGAGCAGUAAUCGUCGUGGACAGCCCAGGAUGGGCACUGCACUUACAGCUGAGUGGAUGGCUAGCACAUGAAUGAGCCAAUGCAUCGAAAGAACAAAUAAAGCUUUGGAAUGCAAACAAAGGCACCCUAUGACGAUGGAUCAUCAAAGGGGGGGACCUAUAUUUCACAUCAGGUAAGGAUGCAUGCAUGUCAUCUAACCUCAAAGCAUUGCACCUACUUGUGAUUUGUUACAGAAAGAUUCUCAAUGAAGUCCAGCAAGAUUGUGGACAAAGAAAGAAUCAUUGAGUUGAGGAUGACAAAGAAUCGGUUUAGAUACUGGAACGAGAAGAGAAUGAGAUGAACCCUGCCAGUUGGAGAAUCUCAAAGAAACGAGGAGAUUAACCCCAUCAUCAAGAGGAGUCUUCAAGUCAACCUGCAACCAGAAGGUGCCAAGUUUGUCAGCCUUGUCCUGUCAGGACUGCUCCAACCAAGUCUUUUUGCCAGGUAAGUCACAUUUUAUCUUUAGGUAGGUCACCCGUAACAAUGAGACCAUUUUUUUUAAAAAAAAAAACAUCAUUUUUUCUGGGUAGGUCACCCAUCAGAAUGAGACCACCAUCUUCCACCUGGGUAGGUCACCCAUUAUAACGCGACCACUUCACAUUUUUUCUAUCUUCCACUUGGGUGGGUUGCCCAUUAUAAUGAGACCACCUUUCAUCAUUUUUCUGGGUAGGUCACCCAUCAUAAUAAGACCAUCAUUUUUUUCUGGGUAGGUCACCCAUUAUAAUGAGACCGCACUUCACAUUCUUUCCAUUUGGGUAGGUCACCCAUAACAAUGAGACCACUUCAUAUUUUUUCUAUCUUCCAUCUGGGUAGGUCGCCCAUUAUAAUGAGACCGCAGUUCACAUUCUUUCCAUUGGGGUAGGUCACCCAUCAUAAUGAGACCGUUUUUCACAUUCUUUCCACCUGGGUAGUUCACCCAUUACAAUGAGACCAUUUUGUUACACAUAUUCUUUGUUUUGGUUUAAUGAGGUCGCUAGAUGGGAUCUCAUGUAGCUUUGGUUAAAGGAAAUCGCCAGAUGAGAUUUCAGGUUGACCGAGUUACGCACAUUUUUUAGUUUUGAUUUAAUGAGGUCGCCAGAUGGGAUCUCAUGUAGCUUUGGUUAAAGGGAAUCGCCAGAUGGGAUUUCAGGUUGACCGAGUUACACUUUUCUUUGUUUUAAUGAGGUCGCCAGAUGGGAUCUCAUGUAGCUUUGGUUAAAGGAAAUCGCCAGAUGGGAUUUCAGGUUGACCGAGUUACACACUUUUUUUGUUAGUUUUGACUGAAUGAGGUCGCCAGAUGGGAUCUCAUGUAGCUUUGGUUAAAGGAAAUCGCCAGAUGGGAUUUCAGGUUGACCGAGUUACGCACUUUUCUUUGUUUUGGUUUAAUGAGGUCGCCAGAUGGGAUCUCAUGUAGCUUUGGUUAAAGGAAAUCGCCAGAUGGGAUUUCAGGUUGACCGAGUUACACACUUUUCUUUGUUUUGGUUUAAUGAGGUUGCCAGAUGGGAUCUCAUGUAGCUUUAGUUAAAGGAAAUCGCCAGAUGGGAUUUCAGGUUGACCGAGUUACGCACUUUUCUUUGUUUUGGUUUAAUGAGGUCGCCAGAUGGGAUCUCAUGUAGCUUUGGUUAAAGGAAAUCGCCAGAUGGGAUUUCAGGUUGACCGAGUUACGCACUUUUCUUUGUUUUGGUUUAAUGAGGUCGCCAGAUGGGAUCUCAUGUAGCUUUGGUUAAAGGAAAUCGCCAGAUGGGAUUUCAGGUUGACCGAGUUACGCACUUUUCUUUGUUUUGGUUUAAUGAGGUCGCCAGAUGGGAUCUCAUGUAGCUUUGGUUAAAGGAAAUCGCCAGAUGGGAUUUCAGGUUGACCGAGUUACGCACUUUUCUUUGUUUUGGUUUAAUGAGGUCGCCAGAUGGGAUCUCAUGUAGCUUUGGUUAAAGGAAAUCGCCAGAUGGGAUUUCAGGUUGACCGAGUUACGCACUUUUUUUUUUAGUUUUGACUGAAUGAGGUCGCCAGAUGGGAUCUCAUGUAGCUUUGGUUAAAGGAAAUCGCCAGAUGGGAUUUCAGGUUGACCGAGUUACGCACUUUUCUUUGUUUUGGUUUAAUGAGGUCGCCAGAUGGGAUCUCAUGUAGCUUUGGUUAAAGGAAAUCGCCAGAUGGGAUUUCAGGUUGACCGAGUUACGCACUUUUCUUUGUUUUGGUUUAAUGAGGUCGCCAGAUGGGAUCUCAUGUAGCUUUGGUUAAAGGAAAUCGCCAGAUGGGAUUUCAGGUUGACCGAGUUACGCACUUUUCUUUGUUUUGAUUCAAUAAGGUCGCCAGAUGGGAUCUCAUGUAGCUUUGGUUAAAGGAAAUCGCCAGAUGGGAUUUCAGGUUGACCGAGUUAUGCACUUUUCUUUGUUUUGGUUUAAUGAGGUCGCCAGAUGGGAUCUCAUGUAGCUUUGGUUAAAGGAAAUCGCCAGAUGGGAUUUCAGGUUGACCAAGCUAAACACAUUUUUUUAGUUCCAGUUUAACGAGGUCGCCAGAUGGGAUCUCAUGUGGCUUUGGUUAAAGGGAAUCGCCAGAUGGGAUUUCAGGUUGACCGAGCUCCACAUUUGUUUUUAGUUCCAGUUGAAUGAGGUCGCCAGAUGGGAUCUCAUGUAGCUUUGGUUAAAGGGAAUCGCCAGAUGGGAUUUCAGGUUGACCAAGCUACACACAUUUUUUAGUUCCAGUUUAAUGAGGUCGCCAGAUGGGAUCUCAUGUAGCUUUGGUUAAAGGAAAUCGCUAGAUGGGAUUUCAGGUUGACCGAGUUACACACUUUUUUUUUUAGUUUUGACUGAAUGAGGUCGCCAGAUGGGAUCUCAUGUAGCUUUGGUUAAAGGAAAUCGCCAGAUGGGAUUUCAGGUUGACCGAGUUACGCACAUUUUUUAGUUUUGAUUUAAUGAGGUCGCCAGAUGGGAUCUCAUGUAGCUUUGGUUAAAGGGAAUCGCCAGAUGGGAUUUCAGGUUGACCGAGCUACACACAUUUUUUUAGUUUCAGUUGAAUGAGGUCGCCAGAUGGGAUCUCAUGUGGCUUUGGUUAAAGGGAAUCGCCAGAUGGGAUUUCAGGUUGACCGAGCUACACACAUUUUUUUAGUUCCAGUUGAAUGAGGUCGCCAGAUGGGAUCUCAUGUGGCUUUGGUUAAAGGGAAUCUCCAUAUGGGAUUUUAGGUUGACCGAGCUACACACAUUCUUUGGUUUUGGGAAAGGAGAUCGCCAGAUGGGAUCUCAAGAUAACAAAAAAAAAAAGGAGAGAGAAAGAAAGAAAGAAAUAAAGAAGAGGAAGAAAAGAGAAGGAAGAGAGAACAGAGAAAAAGAGCAAGGUCUUUAGAUGAAUGGAUAUUGAGCAAGUUAAGCAGACAGAAAGACAAGUUUUUCUUUACAAAGCUUACUAUGCAAAACAUUGAGGAGUUUGGCUUCGUAAGCAUUGUAAAGAGGGGGCAGCUGUUGCUACCCAAUUUUUGACCCAUGUUUUGAUAAUUUUUCAGAAAAAACCAAAAAUAGCAAAAAAACAAUGAAAACCCAAAAAAAUGCAUUUUUGAUAUAUUUGCAUCGUUUUUAGCAUUUUCAACGUCAUCUCAAAAGAAUUUAAAUUUUCAAAGGUAUUUGGAACGCGUUCAACUUUUAACGCGUAAAUUUUAUGAUCACUGAUUUUCCUUGUUGAGUUGACGUUGAUAUUGCUCGCUUUCAAAAAUACAAAAAAAAUAAGAAAAAUCAAAAUUUACAAAAAAAGAGGAAAAGAGAAGGAAAGGAAAAGUUGAGGGACUAGUUUGAAAACCUAGCAAAACUUUUCCUAUAAAUACCAUGCUACACUGAAUUUUUAAAAGGGGGGCAAUUUUGCAAUUAAAGGGGGCAGGGAACACAAAAACAAGAAACCCUAAAAGCUUAACAUUUUUUCUUCUCCCUCACCCUAGGCAGCCGCCGAAGCCCCCCUCUCCAUCUCACUGUCUUCUCCCUCAACCGGAGCCGCCACCCCCCCUCUUGAUCAGAUUUUUCUCUUCUUCUCGCCAGCCUAGAGCUUGGCUCUUUGGACUGCACACAAGCCUCCCCUUCUCAGCCACCUCGUCUUUCCCUCUCCAGCCGGCUCAACCUUUCCCCCCAUUUCCUCUCAUCACCGUCCCAGCUGUUCCCUUCCAGCACAAGACUUUCCCUCUCUAGCAACACAGACAGAGACCGGCUUCUGCACCUCCCCACAGCAGCCGGCCACUACAUUUCUCUCAGCCGUUUGUCGUCGCCAGCAGCAGCAGCGCUGUCCUCACCAGUGAGCCACCAGCCCCCACACGGCAACGCCGGGGCACCACUCUUCUUCAUCUUCUGCAACUGGCCUCCUGCCCGCCUUCUCCCUCCGGCAGCGCCCGCAGACCCAGCAGUCUCCAGCGACAGCCCCCAUACGGCGGCGCCCACAGAAUCCAGCCGCUGCUCACCUUCCUCCAGCCGCUCACAGAGACGCCCUGACCUCAGAGCCGUCCGCCACCUGCAGAAGGGAAGAACAGAAAACCAAAAGGAGAAGACAAGAGAGAGUAGAUAAAAAAAAAGGGGAAAAAGAAUUGGAAGCUUUGCAUGUGUGUUUUUCCCUUUGCAGGUAACGGUGGUUCUCACAGCCAGCAGAGAAGGGAAGGGAAGAAGAAAGCAGGGCAGAUCUGCCCAUUUCCGGUCAUUGUCAGUAGCGGCGCGUGUACCCACGCGCCGCAGUGGCGACGACGCGUGGGGAGACGCGCCGCUACUGUUCAGCCAGUUCCAUAAGUCUGUCUGACACUGUUCUGUUGGUGGAGAAGGCUAUCCCUGUAAUUUUAGAUUGUUUUGGGGCUAAUUUUUGUAAUGUAAAAAUUGUUUAAUGUAUUUUUUUGUUUAGUUGACUUUUUAUAAUUUGUAUUGUUGAUGUAACAAAAAAAAGAAAAAGAAAGAAAAAGAAAAGGAAAAGAAAGAAAAGAAAAGUAUAGUGAAAAGGAAAUGUGUGAUUUGUAUUUUGUUUAUGAAUGUUUUUUUUUGUAUGAUAAAAUUGUAAGAAUAAAGAAGAAUUUAAUAUUUUGAUUUGAUCACGGAUAAAGAAUUAUGAACUUACACGUAAGUCGUAUUUCUAAAAUUCGAUGAAAGAAC